RNAcentral lists this long non-coding RNA (74082 nucleotides) under Solanum lycopersicum (tomato). RNAcentral describes it as "long non-coding RNA (SLYC_LNC000696)". The record is from RNAcentral. Lineage: Eukaryota; Viridiplantae; Streptophyta; Magnoliopsida; Solanales; Solanaceae.
UCGUUGUGUUGCCACAAAUAAUCGUUACAUUUGCUCCAUUCACUCCGACGCCUGGGGCAUUACUUCCUGGUACGGAGCAAGACAAACUCCCCAAUAUAGUUAAAUUAAUAUUCGUUGGUAUAAUCGGUGGUACUUGACCACCAACAGGUGGUACAAUCGGUGGUAUACUAAUGGGUGGUACAAUCGGUGGUAUAUUAAUGGGUGGUACAAUGGGUUGGCCAAGAAUAGGACCAACAAUUGGACUGAGAAUAGAACCAACAAUCGGUAAUUGGCCAAGACCAACAGGUGGCACUUGACCAACGGGUGGUACAAUACGUGGUGGUGCAGGUUGACCCAAUAGGGGAUGCAAUAGAGUACCCACAAAGGGAAUGGGACCCAAAAUGGGACGAACAAUGGGACCAAGGUUAAUAGGCAAUUGAGCAUGGGCUAGAGGACUGGUGGUGAUGAUGGAAAGUAGAAUAACAAGGGAAACAACACACAUUUUUGAAGACAUGAUGAUUUGAUAAUUUUUAUUCUGUUCAAUAUACCCUUUAUAUAGUGCUCCUUUUUAUUUACUCCACCCCUACCUUAACUUACCCCACCCCCCAACCUAUAUAAAUGAUUAAAUAUAUUAUCUUUCAUCCCUAAAUAAGACUUACAAAUAUCUCACAUAUAUCAUCAUUAGUUAGGUUGAAACUCAUCAACUUGAACAACAUUGGGACCAUACAAAUUAAUUAAUUCAAUAUCAUUUGACUUGUCAUAAGAAGAAAUUUUUUUUGUAAGCUGAGGCCAAAAGGCCUUUGGUUUGCCCAUAGGACUCCCUUUUUCUUUUCUUCUACCAUUAUUUUUAAAGUAAUUAAAAGUUGAAGAUUUAAAACAAAUACCAUAAAUUUAUAUUUUUUUAAUUAUUAAAGUAAUUUACACAAUUUAUUUAUUUUUAUUUAUUUUAAAUAUAACCUUUUAAAAUUGGUGUUAAAUCUUUAUAUUUUGGUAAAAAAUUAGGUGUUCACAGUGUGAUUGUUAAUCACUUCAUUAAAAAUUAAAAAAGUUUAAGUAGAAUUUAGAUAAAAAAAAAAUAAGUAAUGUCUACUAAUUAUCUUGAAAUCUAAUGGGUUUAUCACAUUGUUCGAAAUGUAUUAAAAUAUCUAACAUAUAAUUUUAAAAUUGAAGAGAGUUAAAAUUAUAGUAGAAUAAAAGAGAGAUGAAAUUGUGGUAAAAACUGACAUUGAAAGUGAUAAGUUAAUGAAGAUGACAAUGAAUUUUUGAAGAAGAAGGAAGAAAGAAAAAGAAAAAAAUAAUAAGGAGAAAAAGUUAAAAUAAUACGAAAAAUUAAAAAAUAUAUAUAUUUUAUAGUAAAAUUCUUGUAAAAAUAAAAUUAUAUUCGUUUUUUUAGUUUGUUCACGCUCUUUAAGAGAGCGCAUACACUUUCCGUGUCAGGUAAACAAAAAAUGAUGUAAUAAUAUCAAUUCAAAAAUAUUUAGGGAGGGUAAUAGGAUACUUGCUUAGUUUAGAUAUUUUUAUAAAAAUUCGAGACAACUUCAAGUAACAUUUUAUGUCUUUUCUCUAUAUGCUAAAAACCUUUUAAGUAGUAGUGUAUGGAUCACCAAUAUACCACUGACUUUAUAUAUAUAAUAUAAUAUGAAGUAUUUUGUAGAAGAGCCAUGAGUUUCACAAAUAUGUCCAGAAGUAGCAUAACAAAAAUAAGUAGAAUUAGUUAGAUUCGAAUGCACGAUUACUUCUUCAUUUCAAGAAGGUGAAAUCAUUAGGUUAUAAUUAUAAUUUUUUUAAUGUUAAGGAUGUUCAAAAUAUGCUAUUUAAUCAUUUCGUAUGUAUUUUACUUGUUUAUAUGAUAGUUAUUUCUGACGAAAAUCGGACACCCUUAUCACCACGUGACUACGCCACCGGAUGUAUCAAGCUUUAAACACACAGAAAAAUGAGAACUAUAUUUUCUGGUUUUCUGGUAAGAAAAAAAAUAUAUUUAUGUUAAUAUAAUGGCACGAUAGAUGGGCAAGCAGGAGGUCAAUGUAUAUGUUUAAUUUACAUGAUACAGAUGAAUUAGGAGAGCAAUUAAAAUUUAUAUGAUUUAAAAAUAUUAUAAGUUGUUUAUUAUUGUGAAUUAUAGUAUUUUUAAUUUAUGUGACACAUAUAAAAUUUUAAGAGUCAACAAAUUCUUUAAUAAGUUUUAAAAUAUAUUUCAAAUGGUUAAUUAUUAUAAUUUUUAAUAUUUUUUACGCCCUAAACCUACAUCCUAAAUGUAUCGGUACUCAAAAAUCAUCUUUGAUCCCAAAUGAACCUUUAAUCAUAAGCGAAAGACUUACUCUAACAACAGAAAUCUCAAAACAAGAUCAACUCAUAAGAAUAAGUGCUCAACUCUCAAUCUUCAAAACAUCAAGGACUGAGAAAAAGAAGUAAAAUAUUUUUUGGAAGAAUGAAAGGGUGGUUUAUGGGGAGGGGGUUGGAUAAUAAUUUAAUUUUUAUUUAUACGGUGAAUAUUUUAUCUAUGUGAAAUGUCAAAGUGUUAAGAUUUUUCAAAAUAAAAAAUAGAGUACAUUAUACACACCACCAAGGUGUUUUCUCAAACUAAUAAAUACUAGUUUAGCUACAAAACUAAAUAAAAAGAUAGUUUAAAUGUGUUUUUAAUGGGGGUGUGCAAAAAUCGAACCGACCGAUAAAUUGAACCAAAAAUAUGUUAUUGGGUUAUUGAGGUUUUAAUGGGUUUAUAAAAAAAAAUUAAUGGGUUAUUGGUUCGUUAUCAGUUUUUACUAUUGGGUUAUUGGGUAAAUUAAUAACCCAAUAAGACGGUAAUAAUUCACUAUUUUACUCUUCCUAAUUAUUAAAUAUUAAUAAUUUAAUAUAACUAAACACUAUAACUAUAUCAAAUUAUUAGUACUCUCUCCCCUUCACACUAGGCCGCUUUACUAGUUUUUAUUGUUUACUAAAAACCUAAAGACUAUAGUAAGGGUUCACUAUUGUAGCUAUUUGAUUUUAAUUUUAGUUUAGUAUUAUUGGACUAUUUGAUAUUAAUUUUAGUUUGUAAUUGUAGGUUGUAGCAUUUGCAAGUUUGUGAAGGUCCGUAAUUUGAUUAACAUAAAAAAUCUCGUACUAUAUUUUGGCGGUGACAUGUAAUUAUAGCCUUUGUACUAUAUUUAGAAAAGUGAGAAGUCAUAUAAUAUUUUACGAACAUUUUUGUUACUGGGUAAAUCGAAAAUCAAACGUAUAACUACCAAAAAACGAUAAAGAAUAUCUUAUUGAUUGGUUAUCGGGUUAGUGUUGACACCCAAUUUUGGACCUCCACCAUAUAAAUAAUCAAUUCGAGCUUCUUCGAUUUUAGACGAUUUAAAAUAAUUAGUUUAUAAAAUUGUAAGAAAAUUUCAAAGUUUGCACCUUAUUUUAAAUAGUUUUGUCGCUUUAUAUAUAUAUAUAUAUAUAUAUAUAUAUAUAUAUAUAUAUAUAUAUAUAUAUAUAUAUAUAUAUAUAUUACACAACUAUGUAUACAAUUAAUAUAUUUUUAUGAUUACUCAAAAAUCAUCUCAAAAAGAUUUUACUUUGUUUAAAUAUUUUACUAAUUAGUUUAGUUAUAUAAUAGUUUACAUUCUUGAAUUAGUUAUUCUAUAAUUAAGUCGAUUAAUUUAUUUAAUUAAAAUUAAGAAGCUCGUUAAUUAAUUAUACUAAUUCAUCGAGUUUAAUGUCAAUCAUUUCACCAUUCAAUUUCUAAUUGGUUUAAGUAUACAAUAUUUGGUUGCCAAAAGACCAAAUUUGGGCCUCCAUUUUGAAUUGAGCAACUUUCACAUAUAGCAAAUAAAAAAUUCAUAUUUGUAUGCUAUAGCAAAGUUUGCAUAAUUGCGUUCCAUAGCAAACAUAGAAACUGUAUAAUUCGCUAUAUAUAUACAGUUGAAGCAAAUUGUAUAAAUUGAAGUGUAUAAAACAAGAAAGAGAAAGACACUUGGAUAGAGAACUGUAUAAAAAUGAAGUGUAUAAAACGAAUUGUAUUAUUAUAAGUGUAUAGAACCAUUUUAUAAAAUUUGAAUUUGUAUAAAAUGAGAAAGAGAGAAAGACAAAAGAGACUUGACAAGGAAUAUACAAUUGAAUCGAAUUGUAUAAACGAGAAAGAGAGAAAGGCAAAAGAAACUGUGCAGGGUAGUAUUUUUAUUGUAUAAUUACAAGUGUAUAGGAUGAAAAUAUAUGUAUUUGCAUGUGUAUAUACAAUUUUCUCACGCUUUAUACAAACAGAAACACAAUUUAUGCAUUUUGCUUCUCUUUGUAUAAGUGAUAAAGGCGAGGGUGGCGAGCGAGAUCUGGAAGAGGGAAGAGAGGGGAACAAAAAUAUAUGUAUUUAUGCAAUUUUCUCUACUUUAUACAAUUAGAAACAAUUUUUAUACACUUGUGUUUGUAUAAAAAAUGAGGAAGCGAGUGAGAUACCGGAGGAGAGUGGCGAGCUUGAUAUUUGGGAGAGAGGCGCCGGGAAUUUUUUUACAAACGUUUGGUAUGGAGCACAAUUAAAUCAAACUCUAGCUACUAUAUUUAUUUUAGGUUAUUAGUUUGCUAUUAUAUACAAUUUUCCCUUUUAAAGAGCAUUUCAGCCCAAUCUUAAAUUACAUCAACCAAACCAGCCACUCCAACUUCCUUUUUAAAUAGUAUAAAUUUAAGGAAUUCCAUAGUGUAAUACAAUUAUUACAUUCUGUCCCGACAAAUUUAGUAUUUACUAAUAAUCCCUUAAAAUUGUUGUGGCGUGAUACAUUAGUAUGUUGUGAUAUAUGGUAAAUAAUAUAUAGUAAUUUAAAAUUGUUAAGAUUAAAAGGGGGUAAAAUGGAACAUUUAAAUUUGUUAUCUAAAUCAGCUUAAAUUACGGUAACAGUUCAUUAAUAAGCAUUAAUUCAACACGUAAUUGGAUAACAAUUUCAAAUUUUGAAAAUUCAAGAUUAUAUCAUCUAGUUUGAAGACAUUUUUAUGAACAUCCAGUUAUUAAACUUAUUGACUGAUACAUGAUAACAAUUUUCAAAAACUUUUGAUACAUAGGAAAUCAUAUGAUACACAUCAAAUUCAUGUAUCAAUGCAUCGUCUAAACACUAUAACACACUGAGUCGAUAUGUAUCAGCAAGCACACUUGAUGGCGCAGUUAUUAAGCUUAUUGACUGAUACAUGAUAACAAUUUUCAAAAACUCUUGAUACAUAGGAAAUCAUAUGAUACACAUCUAAUUCAUGUAUCAAUGCAUCGACUAACACACUAUAACACACCGAGUACUUAUGUAUUAAACUUAUUGUCUGAUAUAUGAUAACAAUUUUCAAAAAUUCAUGAUACAUAUGAGAUUCCUUUACUAAAAUUUUUACUAAUUUCAACAACAAUGGUUGCUGCUUCUUUUCUCUUUUUUGGGUGUAUUUUGUCAACCUUUGCUUUAGAUGAUUCGCCAAAAUCUUUGUUUGAAUCCUUCCGAACAUUCAUAGGAUCAUGCAAAGAUUUUUUUUUAUUUUCUUUCCAAUUUUCAUCGUCCGAAUCAUAAAUCCUUCUAUUAGUAAAAGGAUUCAUUAAUAUGAUGUAAUAGAACAAUGAACAGAAAUAAAAUAAAAAAAAGAACGGAUGAUGGAGUAAGAAGAAAAAGAAGACCUAGAGACGGCUGAUGUAAUAUAGAAAUGAACAAGAACAAAAAAAAGAACAGAUGAUGGAUUAAGAAGAAGAAAACUAUAGACGGAUGAUGGAGUAAGAAGAAGAAGAAGAACCAUAGAACAAUGGUCCAAUUUUCAGAAAUUUCAAAUUUUUUGAAUUUUGAAAUUCAAAAUUUCAUAUUAAAUGUUGUGAAAUGUUUUUAAUUAAAAUUAAUAAUUCAAAAUUCAGAAAGUGAUUCAUGAAUGUUUUAGUGGAGAAAAAAUAGGCAUGAUAUUGGGGAAGUGUGUGUUAUAGGAGAGAGAAGGCUAUGUAUCUCUAAACUUCUACUAAAAAAAGAAAAUUAUGUAAUAUUUAUAAAAAGAAGGGAAAAUUAGAGAAUACUAAACUUAUAGUUGUGUAUUUAAGUUAUUUUUCCUUUUAAAUAUACCGGCCCAACUUUAUUAUUCCCAAAUGGAAAAAUUACAUAAAUUAAUAUAUUUUAAAAAAUAAUUACUGAUUUUAGUGAUACUUUUUGUUUAUUACCAUUUAUAGCAAUGCUUUGUUAAAUCUAUAAUAUGUAUUAAAAGUGAAUUAUGUAUGCAAUAUAUAUGAAUUAUAAUUGUUUUUUGAAAUAAAUCAUGUUUGUUUGAUAAAAAAUUAUCACAUUGUAUUUUAAGUGUAUUAAAGUGUGUGAUAAAUUUAUUAUUCAUCAUUAAAAUUUGUAUUAUAUGUGAAUAAUAAAUUGUUCUUUGUAAUAUGUAUUAAACUUGUAUUAUAAAUGAAUUAAAAGUGAUCAAGUGAGGUAAAAAUAUUAUUGCUAUAAAUGAUAAAUAUUUUUUAUUAUAGUAUAUUUAUAUAAGUUUCCCUUCCCAGAUUUACCCCAACCCGGCCCAAUUCUAUCUUUAACAAGAGAACCCAGUAGUGUUCCAAACCGUAAGCCGACAAAAGUUCCAAGCACCAAAGUUUACGGACGGAAAACCAUUACACAACGCCUUCACGCCUAACUUCAAUGGUAAAAGCAGCGCGUGGAGGGCACCAAGAACAAAUAGUUAUUUAGUUUGUGGUUCGAUAUUGUAAUACUUCUGUUCAACUGAUUUGAGAUUUAUUUCUUGAUGGUCGCAAGUCAUUAGAAUUUUGAAAUGUUUUUGAUUUGGUGUCGGCUGGAAAUCAGUGGUGCAACUUGAAAUAUUGUUGUCUCAUUUGUAUGAAGUUUUAGGUCUUCCUGCCUAUAUUGCUGAUGCUCCUGAUUUUGACAUAUUGAAAUCGCUAUAUUUGUGUUUUGUAGUGUUGUUGUUGUUGUUGUUGUUUCAUUAAGUCGCCAGAGAUAUCACACCCUUUUUCUGCGCGUGGCGUAAGACGGUAAGGGUUUUUCCAAUUUAAGUGACGUUAUUGAUUAGGGAAUUAUUUUAUUUUUCAGCGUCGCCACUUGGAUUUAAGUUAUGGCAAGUCAACUUUUCUUUUAAUCCCUAACCAAAAGGAAAUAACUCUUUAUUUUGGUCCGUGGACCAGAAAUUUAGGUAAGGAAUCCUGUUGAAUGAGGAGAAGGUAUUAGGCAUCCUUCGAGUCCCGUGGUUCUAGCACGAUCACUUUUAUUGACUUAUAUUUAUUUUAAAAUAUUUUUGGAUAUAUUAUUUUUAGGUAUUGACUUGUUUGCAUUUUUAUUCUUGAACUUUUAUUUAGUCUCAAAUCAGAUGCAUAACUGCAUUCUCGACUUUGACAUUUGGAGACAUAAUUGUCUUCAUCUCUCAAGUUCCUCCCACCUAAUAAUUGUCUAUAAGUGUCACUCUAAAUAUUUAUAUUUAUAAACAAGGUGCGUCACCGCAUCCUUGAAUUUUUAAUGUCUCAAAAAGAUGCGUAACCACAUUCUUGAUUGAAAUAAAUAUUUAUUAAUAUGUCGAAAAAUAAUUUAUUUUAUUUUAUUUAUUUAUUUAUUUAUUUAUUGGUCUAGAUAUACCUACUUUAUCAUUAUUAUUUAAAUCAAGAAAAGCUGUAGCUAUAGUGAAAUCAACGUAGUACAAAAUUGAAAAUUGGAUUUCAUUAAGUAAAAAGAUAGAAGGGUUUAACAACAACACAAACUAAUUAAAUUUUAGCUUACAACCUUGAAAUAAUAAUAAUAAUAAUAAUAAUAAUAAUAAUAAUAAAACAAUACUACGACAAGAAUCAUCAACCACAUACAUAAUAAGAGAGAAUAGACAAACAAAAAUUUCAAUACAACCCUGAAAUAACUAUAGAUAAUAGAAAUUUGGAUAUUCAUUAAACUAUAUAUAGUGAAUAUCCUGAUACUAUAUUGCCUAAUUCUCGUUUCUAGGUACAUCAUCUAUAACAAACACGCCUAUUGAAACCCUUCAUGGAGGCGUAUAUUGGUGCUCAAUCCUUUUAUAACGAGGCGUAUAUAAGUGCUCAAUCCUUUGGUUUUGUGAUCCGCCAUGAGAUAUAGAGCAAGUCUUUUUCUAUUAAACUUAUUUCUUUUAUUGUAUUUUUUUGGGGGCCGGGGGGUGGGGGGGGGGGGAGGUGGACUUGAUAUACUCCUUAACUUUGUGAUUUAGAGUUGAUAUAUCCUCGUUAAAAAAGUGGGUUACAUGUACUCAUAUUAUUAUAUAAAUAAUGUCUUCAAAUAUACCAUUUUGUUCUAACGGGAGUGAAAACAAAUAGUUUUUUAAAUGCAUUUUUUUAUUUAUUUUUAAGAAGUAAAAUUUGAAUAUAUAAUCUUAGAACUUUUCUAGAAAAUAUACUCGUAUAUUGAUAUUUUAGUGUGUUUUUAAAAAAAAAAUUAAAACAAUAUUUCACUUCCAUUAGAUGAAAAGGUUAUAUGUGAACCACUUUUAUAAUGGUAAGACUAUAUAUGAACCACUUUGAAUUUAAAUGUGCAUUAUUUUAUAAUGAGCGACAUAUAAAUUCUAAUAAAUUAUAAAGUAGAAGAGUAUAUCAAGACCUUUUAUGGACUUUGGUAUUUAGAGAUUUUGUUAAUUAAAGUAGAGGAGUCGUAUAUAUAGGUGAAUAUUGAUAUGCUGCAACAUGUGUUAUUUAUUUUAAUGUGUGUAUUAUUGAGUAGUUAAACGUGUUGGGAGCCGUGCGUGCAUAUAUGCAUUUCAUGACAUAUAUAAUAAUAAUAGAGUGAAAAGAAGAAGAAGGCAGAAAUGAAUUGAAAAUAAAGGAAGUAGUUAAAAUAUUAUCCAAUCUCACCAUUUAUUUAUUAUAAAAUAUUAGAUACGAUACAUAAUUAAUUAAGAGAUGGAUGAGGUUAUAUAUAUAUAUAUACACACUCACUUCAUUUAUUUAGGUGUGUGUGAGUAUAUCAAGACUUUUUACGGACUUACAUAUUUAGAUAUUUUAGAGAUUCUGUUAAUUAAAGUAGAAGAGUAGGUGAAUAUUGGUAUGUUGAAAACAUGUGUUAUUUAUACUCAUGAAUAGAAUAAUUAAGUAGUAUAUAAUUGUUGUUGUUCAUCUUGUAUUCCAAACAUACUUAGAACAAAACUUUGAACAUCUUUGUAAGAAAACAAAGUUUAAGAACAUUUUCACAACUAGAAAAUUAAAACUAGUAGCGAAACUAGAAUCAGAAACAGAUUUUUUUAAAAAAAUAUACGAAAUAUUUUUCUUAAAGAGGAAUUGUUGUUAAUAUGUGUCUAAAUAAUCUUACUGAUUCCAACAAACUUUGCAGAAACACGAAGUUACCAAGUUUAAUGAACCAGUGAAGAACAGAAGAAUAGAAGAACUGAAAUUAAUUGACAAAUCUAAAAUUUGUAAAAGACGUACCAGAAUCUGAAAAUUUUUAAUAGGAAAAAGAUCAAGUCCACUGAAUUCACAGUGUCCCCUUAAGGAAAUUAUUAGUUAAACGUGUUGGGAGCCGUGCAUGCAUAUAUAUAUACAUUUCAUGACAUAUAUAAUAAUAAUAAUAAUAUUAUUAUUCAAUCUCACCAUUUAUUUAAUAUAAUAUUACAUGAUAAUUAAGAGGGCACUUCAUUUAUUUAGGUGUGUGUGAGUGAUGAUGGAGUAGUCCUAGGUAAUAGUGACGGUUGCUAGAGAUGUAAGUAUCCCAAAAAUUGCUGCCAAAGUUUGACCAACCACAUUCUCAAGUAAGUUUCCAAUAAGGAUAACAGGAGCUACAAGGGUUCCUGUGGUUGGAGUCAAAGUGCAAUUAGCAAUUGGGAGAGGAAUCCUUGCAAUACAUGUUCCUGACAAAAGACUUGUAUUGGUGGACACUGCAGCAUUAAUAAUGCCUUGACUAUUUGUGGACACUUGAGCAAUCGUUGUGUUGCCACAAAUAAUCGUUACAUUUGCUCCACUCACUCCGACGCCUGGGGCAUUACUUCCCGGUACGGAGCAAGACAAACUCCCCAAUAUACUUAAAUUAACAACACGAUCAACAACAGGUGGUACAAUCGGUGGUACUUGACCACCAACAGGUGGUACAAUCGGUGGUACUUGACCAACAACAGGUGGUACAAUCGGUUGGCCAAGAAUAGGACUAAGAAUGGGACCGACAAUUGGACUGAGAAUAGAACCAACAAUCGGUAAUUGGCCAAGACCAACAGGUGGUACUUGACCAACGGGUGGUACAAUACGUGGUGCAGGUUGCCCCAAAAUGGGACCCAAAAUGGGACGAACAAUGAGACCCAAACCUUGAGCAUGAGCUAGAGGACUGAUGGUGAUGAUGGAAAGUAGAACAACAAGGGAAACAACACACAUUUUUGAAGACAUGAUGAUUUGAUAAUAUUUUUUUCUGUUCAAUAUCCCCUUUUUAUAGUGCUCCUUUUUAUUUACUCCACCCCUACCUUAACUUACCCAACCCCCUAAUUUAUAUAAAUGAUUAAAUAUAUUAUCUUUCAUCCCUAAAUAGCAUUAUUAAAGACUUACAAUAUCUCCCUAUAUCAUCAUUAGUUAGGCUGAAACUCAUCAACUUGAACAACAUUGGGACCAUACAAAUUAAUUAAUUCAAUAUCAUUUUGACUUGUCAUAAGAAGAAAUUUUUUUGUAAGCUGAGGCCAAAAGUAGGGUGGGCAUUCGGUAUUUCGAUUCGGUUUCAGUUUUUUUUCCGAUUUUUUGAUUAUUGUAAAUUGUGUACCGAAUACCGAAUCAAAAUAUUUUGGUUCAGUUUGGUUUUUGUUAAUUCGAUUCGGUUUUUUAUUUCGGUUUUUUAUGUUGAUGGCGCGGCUGCUAGCUGCUGACUGGUUGAAUGUUGAUGGUGCCUGGCAGACGGCGUGGCGGCGCUGCUGCUAGUUGCUUGACAGCGCGGCGGCGCUGCUGCUGUCUGCUUGACGGUGCGGCGGCGCUACUGCUUCUUUUGGCGGCCGGCCGGCGCAGCUGCUACUUCUCGCGGCUGCUGCUGCUUCUUCUGGCGGAUGGCCGGCGCUGCUGCUUCUUCUGGCGGACGGCCGGCGCUUAUGCUGAAUCUGGCUGGAGGAGAAGAAGAAGAAGAAGAGGAAGAAGAGGAGAGGAAGAGGAAAGACCAAGAGGAAAACAAAUCAGUAGAAAGAUGAAAGAGAGAGGAAUAGGGCCCGUAGGGUUUCUUUUUAAAAAAAUUAUUUAAUAUUAAUAAUUAUUAAUUAAUAUAAUAUAAAUUAUAGUAUAUUAUUUCGGUUUAAAUCGAAAUAUCAAAAACUAAAAUAAUACAUACCGAAAAUCGAACCGAAAUACCAAAAAAUAUAAAAAAGUAAAUCGAAAACCGAACUGAAAACCGAAAUAUCGAAACCGAAAUUUUGAAAAAUUUCAAUUUCGUUUGGUGUUUCGGUUUUCCGAUGUUUGCUCACACCUAGCCAAAAGGCCUUUAAUUUGCUCAUAGGAACUAUUUUGAUGGAAUAAAUAACUCCACUUGGUUUGGGUGUCAAAAAAAACAACAAUAAAAAUAACAACAACCAUCGAAGAUUUUUGAAAAUAGUUGUGUGAUUGUUAAUCACUUCAUUUAAAAAAAAAUUAAUGUUAUAUCAUGUUUUUAAUUAUAAUAAACUACACUAUAUAAUAAUAAUAAUAAUAAUAAUAAUAAUAAUAAUAAUAAUAAUAAUCAAGGGCAAAAAGCUAAUCUACUUGGUCAACAUAAAAUGACUUUUAAGUUGAAAAAAAAACACCCCUCACCUAUCUUUUAGAUUUUGGCAUAAAAUAAGUCAUUUUGGACUUAAAAUAAGUCACUUUGAUAAUUGUCAAACACUCAAAUAAAUCAAAAACUGAAUUUUAAAUCAGUUUGACCAGCUUUUAAGCCCAUUCCAAUAGGCUCUAAGUGUGUAAAUAACUUUUCGAUACAAGUUCAAGGUGAAAUUUAUGUCUUUUCCCUUUGAAAUACCUAUCACAAUACUUUAUUUCUCACGCCAUGUAUUCAUGAUAUAAUAAAAAUAUAUAUAUUAAAUAUUGAAUAAGAAAUUUAUGGGUGCCUCGACUAUGUUAAAAAAAGACAUAUGUCUUAGGUCCCCCAAAUUUAAGGGGCCUCAUUUUUAAUAAUAAUAGGUUAUAAGUUAUUAUUUUUUUAACAAAUAUUGAAUACUAUUUAUAGAAAAAGUAAAAUUUUUCAUGAAAAAUAAAGGAAUUAUAGAAGAAAUUUGACAUGUUUGAAGUAAUAUAUCUCAAGAAAAAUAAUUUAAAAUAAGAAUGAUUAUAUUAUCAAUUGAAAACUAGAAGAAAUCAAUUAUAUGAAGUUAUUGACGAUUCAAGUCUAAUGAUCUAUUUAAUUUUUGAUUUAAGCCACUAAUAUACUUAAGUCACUUCUAAAGAAAUUUUGAUAUUUUUUCAAAGAAAGAUGUAACAUAAAAGUUAUAAUAAAAUAUGUCUUUUACUUUAUCAGAAAAUAUCAAGAGAACGUGGGAUGAAUGCAUGAGUUAAUUUGACAAAGUUUUAUCAUUCAUUACAAUAUUAUUAAAAUUAAUAAUCUAUCUUAUUUAAUGGCUCAAUAAGUGAAUGAAAAGACAUGUUAAAACUAAUGUAAUUAAGUAUUUUACUUUUACAAAUUAUGACUUAUUAAAACUAAUGUAAUUAAGUAUUUUACUUUUACAAAUUAUCAAAAAUUUCAAAGGACUAAAUCGUUAUGUCAGAAGUGAUUUUAUUUUCACGGUGUUAAGUGAAAUCGCUAAAUCACUGACCUACCAGCGAUUUUGUUCAUAUUUUUUUCCUAUUUUUUUUAAAGGCAACGAUUUUAGUGGAUUUUUUUCCUUACAUCUCGUAAUUUGAAAUAACUAAGAAAUCAAGAAUAAACAAAAUCGCUUCUGAUAUAGCGAUUUAGUGCUUUUAGUUUUAAAAAACUUAAUGUACCCUUUUGAAAUUUUUAAUGUUUUUUUUAACUCAAAGAAAAUUUUUGUAUGGGUAGUGUUUUUGGAUUUUUUUUUAGAAAAAUAAAAUUGCUUUACUGUCGCAUUUUUAUUUUAAUUGUUUUUAAUAUCGCUGCCUAAAAAGCGAUUUAAGUGGGAAAUUAUUAUACUUUUUGGCAAAUGGUAGCGAUUUGUGUGGAAUAUUUUUUAUUUCUUUCUUUUUAAAAAUCUUGGCAACUCUUUAGUUAAAUAACUUUUAUUAAGAUAUUGCUGGCAAUUAUUUUUUAAAAAUUCGUUUUAAAUGUUGGUAAUCAAUUUUAAAAAAUAAUUAUACAAUUUUUUUAAAAAAAAAAUUGGCACUGAUAUUUUUUUUUAAAAAAGAACUUCCACCAAGCAGCGAUUUUUUAUAUAAAAAUCACGAAAAUAGCUGUCAAGAAUUUUUUUUCCAUUAAAACGCUGUUUUUUUUAAUAUAUAAAUGUUGCAUUGCAGUGAUUUAAAAAAAGAGAAAAUUGUAUAUAAUAUAGUAAACUAAUAAUAUAAAAUAAAAUGAAGCAGCUAGGAUUUGAUUUAAUUGUGCUCCAUAGCAAAUGUUUGCAAAAAAUUGCCAGACACCUCUCUCCCAAAUAUCUCGCUCGCCACUCUCCUCCAAUCUCUCGCUCUCUUCCUCACUUUUUAUACAAACACAAGUGUAUAAAAAUUGUUUCUAAUUGUAUAAAGCAGAAAAAAUUGUAUAAAUACAUAUAUUUUUGUUUCCUUCUCUCCUCUCUUCUAGAUCUCGCUCGCCACUCUCCCAAAUCUCGCUCGCCACCCUCGCCUUUCUCACUUAUAUAAACAGAAACGAAAUGUAUAAAUUGCGUUUCUGUUUGGAUAAAGCGUGAGAAAAUUGUAUAUACACAUGCAAGUACAUAUAUUUUCGUCCUAUACACCCAGUUUCUUUUGCCUUUCUCUCUUUCUCAUUUUAUACAAUUUUCAAAUUGUAUCUAAUUUCUUUCUUCCUCGUUUUAAGUAAAGUUAUCAUUACAUAAAUCAAAUGGAGUGAGCUCAAACUUUAGUUAAUUUUUUUUAAAAAAAAUAUUUUGUUGUUUAACAAUUUUUAAAAUGAAAAUGCUAAACCUUUUUCACAAUUAUGUUUUAUAGUUUUUUUAUCAAUAUCUAGUCGAUGAUAACCAUAAUUUUAAUAUAAAUAAUAUAAUAAGGUAACUUAAUUCUGAAAUUCAAGUAUUGAUAUUUUUGAGAAAAUAUUUAUUUAGAAAUUGUAAAACAUUCAUAAUCUAAUAUUUAAUAUGUUUCUUACUCUCAACGAAUGACACUAAUUCAUCAUGAUUCAAAAUUGUAAGAAGUAAAAAUCAAUACUAAAAAGUGCAACUCAUUAUUAUAUGAAGUUUAAUAUGUAGUUUAUCUAUUGUCGAAAGUUUUCCAAGUAUAUGAUAUAUAAUUCUAUGAUAAAUUAAUUUUUGAUCCCAUAUAUUUAUACUAUUUUCAAAUUUAUACCGUUAAUUGAUUAUAUAUUUUCUUAAACUACAAUUACGCGAUCAUUAUUUAUCAAUUCUACUUUAUCAACUUUAUAUUCUUCUUUUUUAUAUCUUUAGAAUUGUGCUAUUUUUGUUUUCUUAUUUAAGUUACAAUUUUAAAGAUAAAAUAAAUAUUUUUUGGAGAUAAAAUAAGUUAAAUAAAAAACUAUAUGAAUACUUAUGUUGAAAAAAAUUAUAUAUAAUUAAAAAAUUGUCCUAUUUUUAUUUUCUUAUUUAAGUCACAAUUUUUAAAGAUAAGAUAAAUAUUAUUUUGAGAUAAAAUAAGUUAAAUAAACUAUAUGAAUACUUUUGUUUAGAAAACAUUAUAUAUAAUUAAAAAAAUUACAUAUAUGAAAGAUUAUAAAAUUAUACUGGUUAUGUUGUAGUAGUAAUAAACAUAGAUGAACAAUUUGAAUUGUCAAGAGUAUAAAAAUAAAAAUAUUUUUCACAUUAUUAUUAUAUCAAACAAAUACAAAUUGAUUUUCAAAAAGAAUAAUAAAAUGUAUUUGUGGGUCACACAUGAAACAAAAAUUAUGUGAUUCUUGAAAAAAAAUAAUAGAUUCUUCUAGAAAACUAUUUUGACAAUUAAUUAUACAAUUAUAAAUUUAAAACUUUGCCCAUAAAAAUAAUUAAAAUUACAAAAUUGUCAUUGAUUGGCCUCAUCAUGACUCUUAUGUAUAAUAGAAACUAGACAAUUGAAGGCCCGUUCAUGGGCUCAAUAUAAUUAAUUAUUUUUUUCAAUUUUAAGUUAAAAAAAUUAUCCAAAUUAAUAUCUUAUUUUAUCAUAGUUUCUAAAAUUUUCUACUAUUUAAACAAUUACAAAAAUGUCCUCUCAGAUACAUUCUUAUCCUCUGUCGGACACAUCAGUAUCUCCUCUCGAAUACAUUCCUAUCAUUUCUUGAAUACAUCUUUAUCUCAUCCUGAAACAUCCAUAUCCUCUCUUGGAUACAUCUCUCCCCUUUCGGAUACAUUCAUUCUCUCUCGAAUACAUCCCUACCUUCUCGGAAUCAUCGUGAGCUCUAUGUCUGCAAGUUUCCUCAAUAGCAAUGUAUCACGAUCGAUGUAUCCGCAUGUGUUGAUUUAUCUGAAAUUAUUUAAUUUUAAAAAGAUUUCGUAAUUUGAAAAAAGUAGGAAUAUAAUGUAAUUAACUCUUUACUCUAUGACAUAUUUUUCUUUGUAGUCAGUUUCAAAAGAAUGAUGUAUAACAUAUUUAAAUAACAUUUUGACUUUAAAAUAUUCAUUCUAUUCUUAGUAAUAUUAUUUAUAGUCAUAUGAACAUCUAUGGUUUGUUUUAGACCAUGAGUUUUAAAAGUGUUUUUUCUUUUAAAAAAUUUUCGUGUUAAGUUAAAUUAAAAUUUCAUAAACCGAAAGGGAGUGAGUACAAACUUUAGAUCAAUUUUAUAUUUAUAAAAUUAAAGUUUUUGUAACUAUUUUGUCUUUUAACAAAAUUUAAAAUGAAAUAAUUCACAAUUAUUUUUAUAGUAUUUUUUUAAAAUCAAUAUUCUAUCAAUAAUAAUAAAUUUUUUUAAUUUAAAUAAGAUAAUAAAGUAUUUUAAUUUUGAAAUUCAUGUAUUGAUAUCAAUUGAGAAAAUAUUUAAUUUUAAGUUGUAAAACAUUCAUAAUCUAAUAUUUAAUGUGCUCCUUACUCUCGAUGAAUGACACUAAUUUAUAAUAAUUCAAGAUUGCAAGAAGUAGAAAUCGAGACUAAAACGUGCAACUCACUAUUAUAUGAAGGUCACUAUGUAAUUUAUCUAUUGUGGAAGUCUCAUUAGUAUAUGAUAGAUAAUUCUAUGCCAAAUUAAUUUUUGUUUUCAUAUAUUUAUACAAUUUCAAAAUUUAUCCCGUUAAUUGGUUAUGUAUUUUAUUAAACUACAACUGCACUCAUUAUUUUAUCUUUUUUUUUAUUCUUACAUUAUCAACUCUAUUUUUUUAUCUCUUUAGAAUUGUGAUACUUUUGUUUUCUUAUUUAAAUCACAAUGUUUUAAAGAUAAAACAAAUUUUAUUUUGGAGAUUAAAUAAAUAUUAUUUUGAAGAUAAAAUAAAAAAAAGAUUUACUAACCUACAACCAGGAAGAUCCACUUUGAAACCCAGCGACGAAGAAAACUUUGAAACUCUUAGCCGCGAAAUGAGGGUGAAAGAGUAAAAUCAUUUCUGGAAAAUAAUGAAACGAGGGGAAAAAAGCGUAAUAAAGAUUUAAGGAAUUAGUCUAUGUGGUAGUGGACCCUAUUGACAUGCAAUAUGGAAUUCACAUAGCAUUUAACAACUUCUCUUAAUUAGAAGGGCAAUUUUGACCCAAUAGUUUCACGGAAAGGGUACUUUUGAGCCGAAAUAUACUUUAAGGGUAAAUAUGAGUUAUUUCAGAUAGUUUAAGAGUAUUUUUUACCCUUUUACUUUUAGUCUACGUGGUAGUGGAACCCUAUUGACGUGCAAUGUGAUGGCAUUUAACAACUUCCAUUAAUAAGAAUUGCACUUUUGACACAAUAGUUUGACGGGGAGGAGAGUUUUGAGCGGAAAUAUAAUUUAAGGUAAAUAUGAAAUAUUUCAGAUAGUUUAAGGAUAUCUUUGACCCUUUUAUGUUAAAACUAUAUGAAUACUUAUGUCUAAAAAACAUUGUAUAAAAUUAAAAGGAAAUUAAAUCAUGGAAGAUGGUAGGCUAUACUGAAUAUGUUGUAGUAACAACAAACAUAUAUAAACUAUUAAGUUGUAUAAAUAUUUUUUAUUUAUUAUAAUCAAACAAAUAAAAGUUAAUCUUUAAAAAUUAAAUAAAAUGAUUACAUGGAGUCCCAUGAAACAAAACUUUUUGUGACUCUUGAAAAAGAUUAUUGGAUACUUCUAGAAAAUUAUUUUGACCACUGAUUAUGCAAUUAUAAAGUUGUAAUUUUGCCCAUAAAUAAUGUUUAAAAUUACAAUAUUGUCAUUGGUCAUCCUAAUCAUGACUCUUCUAUAUAAUAGAAAUAAUAAUAACUAGAUAUCAGGUGCCCGUGCUAACGCAAACGCAACGUAUGUUAGAUUUUUCUUCUUCCAAUUUAUGUGACAAAAAUGAAAUUUGAAAAAAAUGAACUAAAUUUUUUAUAUGUGUUUUUUUUAAAAAAUAUUUUAAAUUAUUAAUUUAUGUAUCUUUUUUGUCAUUUUCGAAUAAUAUAUGUUACUUUAUCUAUUUUAUUUUAUAUGAUACAAGUGAUUUUAGGAAAGUAAACGAAAUUUCUUAUAUGAUUUUCAUAUAUUUUUAGUUGUCAUUUUACUGCGAUUCAUAGUACUUUUUAGUUAUUACGUUAUUUUCAAACAAUAUAUGCAACUUUUUUUUUGUUUCAAUAAAAAUAAGGGAGUCAACAAAAUUUCAUUAUGUUUUUUCAACUACAUUUUUCUAAAAAUAUUUUAAAUUGUUACAUUGCUUUUUAAAGUUUUUUUAAAUGUAACUUUCAAAUAUGUAACAAAUUAGAAAUUAAAACGAAGAAUUAAAGUUUUCAAAUCAUUAUAUUUCUAUAUUAGAAUAUUAAAACCUUUAAAACUACAUAUAUAUGCAUAAAUUAGUAGAAGGAAGCCUAACAACUUAUUUUUAAAAAAAUAUAUGAGAGCUCAUUUUAAUAGUAAUACAUACAUAUUUCAUUUUUCAAUAUCCGAAUCCCUCCUUUUCGAUUUAUAUAAAUUUAAUUUAAUUUAAUUUUUAUUUUGUUUCAAAAAGAAAAUAACUUCUGAAUUUUAUUUGUUUAUAAAGCAUAUUUAAGAUCACAAAAUCAAAAAAAAAUAUUUCAAUUCACAAAAUUUAAAUAUACAUAUAAAUUUUAAUUUUAAUUUUGAUUGGUUCCACCUAAUAUUAUACUUGAUAUAUAAUUAUUAAGAGCUAAGCGUAAUCAUUAUCUAUUUACUUUCGUAUAAUAAAUAGAUAUCACAAUAACUCUUAAAAAAUGAAGAAAUAACGAAAAUGAGAUAAUACUAAUAAUAAUCACUAAAGAUUUUCUAGAACUAGUUAAAUUUCUUGUUAUCAAUCGUGUUAGUUUUUUGCUUGCAUAAAUUACAUUUUUACCUUCGAUCAUCAUUCACUUCAUAUAUAGAAAGAUGUUUCUAGAAUUAUUUAUUCUUGAUAAAUUAUUGUUAGAAUGAAAUUACAUUUUAUUCUUAGUCGUCUUUAAUACAAAGUAUCAUCCUAUUCAUUUUUUAUUUGUCAAGUUACUUUUUAAGAUCUUUUUCUUUAAUUUCAGUCUAAUAUAUAUUAUUAAUUUAUCACACUUAUUUAUUUUCAAGUAUAUUAUUAGAGUCAAAAUAAAGAUGAAAAUAAUUAAUUCAUGAUAACUUUUUAUAUAAAAAGUAGGCAUAUAUUAUAAGCAUAAUGAAUAGAAAAAAAUAUUAAGAAUUAAUUUAAAGUAAUAGUAAAGUAGAGUAAUUAUAAAAUAGAUAUCACAAUAACUCACAAAAGAAAAGAAAGUGAAGUGAUAACAAAAUAAGUUAAUGGUAAUAAUAAUAACUUAAAAUAUUUCUAGAACUAUUAUUUUUAUUUUUUUUUGUUAUCAUUCUUCAUAGAUUUUUGUUAGCAUGAAAUUAUAUUUUUGCUGUAACGACCUGUUUAGUCGUUUGGAGCAGCAGAGUUAAUUUCUGAAAAUCACUGUCUGGGUCGACGGAUCCCACGACAGACCGUCAUGGGCACGACGGACCGUCGAGGGUGUCUCGUGCCAAAACACUUAGAAUUUAGAAAUUUGGGUACUGAGAUCGACUCUCUGAACUUCACGACGAAAUGGCAGGACGGACCGUUGAGGGCUCGACGGACCGUCACAAAUCCUUCCGCAGAAUUAACUCUCUGAACCUUGUGACGGACGUGCAGGACGGACCGUCACAGUUGUGACGGACCGUCACAGGCUGCGUGACCCUGACUGGGUCGGAUUUCUGUUAAAUAUUUUAAGGGGCGUUUUGGACUAUUCCUACUUAUAAUUAUAAAGUUAGUGGUUUAAUGUUAAUAAUUUAAUUACUUGGGGGUUAAAAGAGAGAACCUUGAAACAAAUAGUGGGAUAUUUUAUCAUCUUUUAUACUUAAUUAUAUGCUAAUUAGGGUAAAAGAAAGAGGGUUUGAAUAAGAAAAAGAAAAAGAACAGAGAGAGAGGGAGAAACGAUCGAUUGAGAGAGAAGAAGAACGCAGCUUUGGGAAAGUAGAUUGCUUGAUCACAAUCCUUCGGUGGAGGUAGGUUAUGGUUUAUGCUAUUCGUAGUAAACUCUUAAUAGCGAAUGAUAUGUAUUGGGUAGUGUUGUAAACCCUUCUAUAUGCUUAAUUGUAUGCUUGCAUGAAUGUGAUUAUAUAAUUGUGAUAAAAUAAGCAUGAUGAAGCUAUUGAAUCCUAAAUCUUGAAAAUCCUAAUCUACUUUGUUAAUGAUGAUGCCUUGGUAUAAAAGAAGGCUUGAUGAACGAAAGUAGUAAGAUUAGGGGAUCGGAGUGUCACGUUCCGACACCAGGAUAGUAUAUGGAUCGGGUGCCACGUUCCGGUACCAGGAUAGUAUAUGAGGAUCGGAGUGUCACGUUCCGACACCAGGAUAGUAUAUGGAUCGGGUGCCACGUUCCGGUACCAGGAUAGUAUAUGAGGAUCGGAGUGCCACGUUCCGGUACAAGGAUAGUAUAUGAGGAUCGGAGUGUCACGUUCCGACACCAGGAUAGUAUAUGGAUCGGGUGCCACGUUCCGGUACCAGGAUAGUAUGAUGAGGAUCGGAGUGUCACGUUCGGACACCAGGAUAGUAUAUGGAUCGGGGUGUCACGUACCGACACGAGAGAAAUAAAGAUAAUGAAUCUUGAAAGAUGUUAAUAUACUCAAUUUAAUGAACCUAAUUCCCAAAUGAGUAUGAUGGGGAGGCGUGAGUCCUCAUUGAUGUGCUUGGUGUUGUGACCAAGAGUUAUGAUAAUUAUAAAUGCCGCAUGUUGAGUAUUGUAGUUGAUUUUAUGAUAUAUCUGAUAUAUACUAUUUUCUAUUUUGAGUUGGCCGAUGAUAUCUACUCAGUACUCGUGUUUUGUACUGACCCCUACUUGUAAUUGUUUUUCUUUGUUAUUUGUGGAGUGCAGCAAACGUACCGUCGUCUUCAACUCAACCGCAACUCUAGCCAGUCUUCAUUACACCGGAUUUCAGGGUGAGCUAACGCUUCUAGCUUGGACUGGAUCUUCUUCUUCAUGUCUUGAUGCCUUGAAGUUCCGGCAUGGACUAGCUUUUUAUUUAUUCUAGCUUUCUAAAUACUCUUAGAAUUAGUAAUUUGAGGAUAGAUGUUCUUGUGAUGAUGACUUCCAGAUUUUGGGAAUAAUAAGUAUUGAGUUUUUAGAAGUUAUUUAACCGAUUUUCAUUAAUGAGUUUAAGUCUUCCGCAUUAUAUUCUGUUUAUUAUGGUUCAAAUGUUGGGGUUUAGAUUGGUUGGUUCGCUCACAUAGGAGGGUAAGUGUGGGUGCCACUCGCGGCCCGCUUUGGGUCGUGACAUUUGCCCUUGAUUAUUAUUCACUUCAUAUAUAGAAAGAUGUUUCUAGUAUUAUCAAUUAUCUUGCUUAAUAGAUUUUUGUUAGCGUGAAAUUACAUUUUUGCCCUUAAUCGUCCUCCCACUUCACUCUUCUAUAUAAUUGAAUAGAAAUACAUUAUAUAAAAUAAAUAUUUAUAAAUGAUUAUAAGUUUUCUAUAUCCUUUUUAUAGUGAUUAAUUUACAAUAGGUAAAUGGAUAUGUAUGGGUAAUAAAAUAUAUAUGAGAAUAGUAAUUUAAUUGUGAUAUAUGGCAAAUUCAUCAAAUAGUCAGUCUCUAAUAAUUUAUAUAUUAGUAGUGAAGUAUAAUGUUAAAUUUUAAACGAGGAUUUACAUAACGUGAGAAAGACUUCUUUUCUUUUUUAUUUUCUCAAGAGAUUUUUACAUUUUAAAAUUAGUUUAUAACUUAACAUUAAAUUACUUUAUAUGUAUUUUACUUAUUCAAACUCUCACAUAAUUACUUGUACAUUUGUUUAUUUAUGGUCUUCAUAUAUAACCCCUAGUAUAGCCUUGCUAAACUAAAUUUUGAAAAUUAUUACUAGUAAGGUGUUUGUUUCCUCACCUCAUAUAUUUACAUCAUAUGCAUAAAAAUUAUGUAAAAUGAAUAACAUAUUUUUUUAUUUAUUUUUAAAGAGACUAGUUAUUUGGGGCCGCUAAAGCCUACUUCAAAAUUAGCAAAUCAAAAGAAAGGAAGUGUACCUAUCAACCAAGUAAAAAUGUCAACUACUUCUAAAAAGUUUGGACAAUUUUUAAGACUAUGAAAAUAUAGAGACAUAGUAAAAUAUUGCGUGAAUCACUUAAUAAAAUCGAAAACAUAAUAUAUUGGAGAUAGUUUUACUAAAAAUAAUUUUACAAUAAAAUUGAAAUGUGUACAUAUUUAUUGAAUUGUGGGUAUAGAGACAAUUUUUAAGCUUUUUUCUGAUUUACAUAUAUUAAAUCGCGAAAGAAGUCAUGUGUUCUUAAUAAAAUAAUCGCUAAUGGCAAUUAUAUUUGCUGCUAAAAUUCUUCCUCUAAAUAACUUAAUUUACACUUUUAGCGUUUAAGACGCAAUGUCCAUCUUAAACUAAUAAAUAUGAGAAAUAAAUAAACUCAAUUGGGGGAUAACAAUUUCUUAAUUAGUAUGUUAUAUAUACAUUAUUUCAAUUAUACUUUCGAGUUUUGAUAUUACGAAAAUAUAAUGUCAAACUUUAAAGACAAGAAUUUACAAAUGAGAACGACUUUUUUUUAAAAUAUAAUGUCAAACUUUAAAGACAAGAAUUUACAAACCAUGAGAACGACUUUUUUUUAUUAUACGUUUUAUUAUAUAUAUAUAUAUAUACAUACACACACACAUAUAUAUACAUAUAUCAUUGACUCUAUAUAUAUAAGAUAGGAAAGAGGUUAAAAUAUAUCAUUGAACUUUCAGAAAAAAACUCAUUUAUUCAUCAGUUAAAAGUUUGGCUCAUUUAUGCCAUUACCGUUUAAAAAAGAUUCAUUCUUGCCAUUAUUUUUUAAUAAUGGUUUCGCAAAACCAUUUUUAAUACGUGACCAAUUAUAAUCGGCUACGUCCUCAAUUUAUUUAAUUAAAAAAUCAUCAUUCUAAAAAAAAUUGAAUUCAUUUUUUUUGAUUUUUUUAUUAAAUAAAUUGAUGACAUGGCUAAUUAGAAUUCAGUGGGAUUUCUUAAAUUUGGGCGGGUCUUUAUUUGAGUGGGGUUUUUAUUUAAUGUUUUCUCAGAAUUGAUUUUUUAUCAAAAAAAAAUAAAAAAUGAUGUGGCCGAAUCAUAACUUGUCACGUGUGAAAAGUGGUUGGGCAAAAUCGCCGUUAAAAACUAAUGGCAUGAAUGAGUCUUUUCCUAAAUGGUAAUAACAUGAACGAGUCAAACUUUUAACGGAUGACAUAAAUGAGUCUUUUCUAAAAGUUCAACGGCAUAUUUGAGCUUUUUCCCUUAUUAAAAAAGUGGCUUACAUACACUCAUAUUAUUACAUAAAUAUUCUAAAAUAUACCAUUUUGUUCUAACGGGAGUGAAAACAAAUAUUUUUUUAAACAUAAUUUUUUAUUUUUAAGAAGUAAAAUCUGAAUAUAUUAUCUUCCACUUUCCUAGAAAAUAUUAUCCUACAAGAUUUUUUAUUUUUAAAAUUAAAAUUAAUAUUUUCACUUCCAUUAGAUGAUGAAGAUAUACCUGAAUCACUUUUAUAAUGGUAAGGAUAUGUAUGAACUCUUUUAAUUCAAAUGUGAAUUAUUUUAUAAUGAGCGAUAUAACAAUUUUAAAUUGCAAAGUUAUGAAGACCUUUUUAUUUAGGGAAAAGGGUCUGAUAUACCCCUCAACUUUGUCAUUUAGAGCUGAUAUGCCCCUUGUUGUGAAAGUGGCUCAUAUAUACCCUUACUUGUAAACAAAUGGCUCACAUAUACCCUUUUCCUCUAACGGAAAUGGAAAAAAAAAUAAUUUUAAUCUAAUUUUUUAAUAUUUUUUGUCUAAAAAUUAUAAUCCCAUAUGAGUAAAUUUAAUCCUCGUAAAACAUAUUUUUUUUAACCUUUUUUAGUUUCAAUGACUAAUUUAUAAUUAUUAUUUUGAUAAUCAAAUUUAUUUAUGUUUCACUAAUAUUCUUGUAAAACUUAUUGUAGAUAACCAAAUUUUUUCUUCGAAUAUGAAAUUAAAUUACAAUACACACAAAAAAUAGUUUAAAUUUUUUCUCUUUAAACUAAGGAUUGAAAGAAAAAACAUAAGAAUAAGAAACUCAAAUAAUUAUAAUAAAAAAAGUCAAAAAAUAAUUUAUAUAUGAAAAAAAUCAAAAUAUACCUUGAACUUUGAUAGAAGAAUCAUAUAUAUCCCUAAAUAAUUUUUUUAAAAAAUUACAAGUAAUAAAUAUCAAUUUAAAACUAAUUUUUUAACUUCCGUUAAAUGAAGGGUAUAUAUGAGCCAUUUUGUAACGGGAGGGGUAUAUGUGAGCCGUUUGUAUAACGGUAAGGGCAUAUAUGAGCCACUUUUAUAACGGGGGGUAUAUUAGCUCCAAAUAACAAAGUUGAGGAGUAUAUCAGACUCUUUUUCCUUUUAUUUAUUGUAUAAAAGCAUUUCAUAUACUAGUUACAUAUUUAAAUAUUGAAAAUGUUGAUAAGAGAUCCCAUUAAAUGCUAAAGUAUUGGUAUUUUAAAAAAAUUUCCUUUUAUUUAUUGUAUAUAUCUAACAUCUCGUAACUUCAAAUAACUAAGAAUAAACUAAGAAAUCAAGAAUAAUCAUUUUUGGAAAUAAAUAGGAAAUCUGAAAAAUUUCCCAAGUGUAAAAGUGAGUUUUUGGUCAAUUUCAAACGACCAUAACUCCCAGCUUAGGAGGAGUUAGUGUGAGUUCCUUAUAUGGUUGGAAAUCCCUUGGAAAGAAAUUUCCAACAACGCCAAGUUUGUACAUUUUAGAUGUCGUAUGAAGGAGAUAUGACUUUCGAAAGUUUGGUUGUUGGAGUGAGGAAAAUUCAAUCCGGAUUUAGUAAGGAUAAAGUAGUCUUUUCACCCUAGUAUUUUCUAAUUCGUUUUAAGGGUUUAUUAGGGGUAAAAUCAAGUCCAUAUUCAGUUUUGAAAAAGUUGAGAACGCUCAUGGCUUGGGAGAAAAGAGAAGAGAAAACCAAAAUUUCUUCAAGAACGCUAAGGUUUCGCUAGAGGAAUUCAUCGGGGGUGAUCUCUAUCGAGGUAUAUGAGAUCUUUCUAUGUUGGGUUCGUUCACCCACACACCAACAUGUUUAUUUAGCAAUUUUUGUAUUGAUUGAAUAAUGAAUCUUGAAGUUCUUGAUGAGCAAUUGUUGAAUCCUUAUUGGUAGAGUUGUAGUGUACCUUUAGUUGGUGUUGAUUCGUAUUUUCAGGCUGUUUUACGAGUCUAAACUAUUGGGUAUUGAGUAUAUUAGUGAUUGAUACGCUCAAACUUACUUUUUAAAUAAGAAGUAAAGCAGUAAAUGGGGGUUUCUAUUCCUAAAUAAAUGAAAAUAACUAGCGAAAUUAAAGGAGACAACUAACAACUUCGAAUGUUGGAGUUUAAUCACUUAAUCAAAGUAACUAGGGUUUACGUGUUCCCCACAGGUUCAUAACUUGAUAAUUCUAACUAUAACAAUUCUUUCCUAGUAUCUUGCAUGCAAAGUGAUAAGUUAUGUAUUUCUAAAUCCUUGGUCCGGCAUCUAGAAAAUUUCACUCGGCACCUUGGUCCGACUACGUGUGUUGCUAUACUAACCCUUAUAUUUACCUCAUAUUAAGCAUCGUAUUCGAUAUUUGACUAAGUUAUUACCCCGUACCAAUCAAUACUAGCCUAUUAGAUAGUAUACACUAAAUUUAUAUUGAUAAUUCUUUUCCUAUUAUCUUCCUCCUUGGUCCGACAAGUAGCAUUAAGGCGAGUUCUAACGUUGGCCAUCCGUUAAAAAGACUUCCAAGCGAAAGAAUUAUCAAUACAUGCAAGACACUAUUCUAGAAUUGUUAUUUUAGUUAGAUUUUACCUCAUUAUUCGCCUAUGGUUCCCACAACCCUAAUUAUGGAGUUUAGUUACCCAUAAUCAUAAUCACAAUAUUCAAAUAUAUGAUAUAAGAAUUCAUGCACUUACUUCAAUGAGAAAGAGUAAAAUCCAAAAGUUAGCUUGAUUAAUCAACAAUCAAUUACAAGAAUAUCAAAAUAAUCAAGAAUCUCACAAAAAGUCUAAAAAAUAAUCAAGAGUCUAACAAUAAUCAAGGGCCUAACCAAAUAAUCCAGAGUCUAACCUCAAAAACGAGGUUUUUCAAACUAUUUAUAAAAAAUAAAAACCUAAUUACAUAAGGACUCUAUUUGCUGGAAAUCUGUCAAAACGCGGCUGGGUCAACGGACCUCGCGACGCAUCGUCGUGGUCACGACGGACCGUCAUGGACACGACGGACCGUCAUGGACUCCGUCGUCCCAUACUUGAUGCAAUUUCUUAUGCUGCUCUCUUCAUUACUCUCGACAGCAGGUAUGAUGGAUCGUUACAGGCACAACGAUCCGUCGAGGGUCUCCGUUCCAAAACACUUGAACUCUUGGAAUAUGGGUACUGGGACUACUUCUCUGAACUUCAUGACGAACCUGCAGGACGGACCGUCAUGGAUACGACGGUCCGUCACGCAUUUUGUAACCCCACACUUGGUCAGACUUCCCCAUUUUCCUUCAGCAGCUGCACUACGUUGCCACCUACGGACCGUCACGAGCAUGACGGACCGUCACAAGCAUGACGGACCGUCACAAGCAUGACGGACCGUCACAAGCAUGACGGACCGUCACAAGCUCCGUAGGUGGUCUCUUCUGCAUUUCUUUGCUCAAAAACCUCCGCAUUCAUCUUUGGAUAGAUUUCCUGCAAAUAAGGAGAAACUUAUAUAAAAAUUAGCACAAAAAGAUUUUGGACACACUAACUUAAGGAAAAAAUAUUAAUAAUACCGUGACACCAUAGUAUAUCAGUGAUCCUAAGUGUUUGGGAAAAAUCCAUGAAUGUUUUGAAGGUUUAGAGUUGAAAAUCGGAGAAGAAAAGUCAGAAAACUCGUCUGACAGGUCUUGUGGCACCGUGCCUACAAGAGCCCCUCAGGACAGACUCUUUCUGUCAGGCUCUGGCGCGCCGCCGUGCCAGCUAGAGCGCCUGAAGACAGUGUCUGUCGGUCAGGCGCUGGUGCCCCGCGCCUCUCAGAGCGCCAGGGUCACCUGGAGAUUCUAUUUCUCUCCCAUCUUUUCGUACGAGUUCCUAAGUGACGUAUCUAUUAUUUCUAGUUAGUUCCAAUACUCUAAAGUAAAUAUAAACAUUAUGAAAUCAUCCAUAAUAAUGAGAUCAGGAUCCGUGAAUGCAUAAUCCAAUUCAAGGGAAGUUAAGAUCAAAGUCAAAAAAAGUUAAGAGUCAAGUCUAAAAGUUAAAAAACAAGUCAAAGUAAGUUCCUAAAGCAUUCAAGAGUCUUAAACAAACAUUUUAACUUUGUUUUAAGGUUCAAGCAAUGAGUUGAGCAAAGAGUAAAAGAGUUGAGUUAAAUUUUCAAAAGCUAUAAGGGAACUAAGUAUUCCCUAAGAGUUAAGUUUCAAGUUAAGCAAAUAGUAACAAGUUGAGUUCACUUCUCAAGAGUUAGAAGGGAACUAAGUAGUCUCUAACAGUUUAAACAAGAUGUUUUUAAACUUUUGAGAAAGAAAGGAAGCUAGACUUCCACAGAGCCUAUGACUAGUUUUAGUAAAAGAAAAAGGAAACUAUGAUUUCUAAGAAAGUUUUUGAAGCAAAGUUUGAGAAAUUAUCUCAAACUAGAGAAGAAGUUGUUUUAAAAAAACAUAUGAGCUAAGUAUUUUGGGAGUAGUAUUGAGCACCGAUAUGGUGACGCGAGUUCAUAUUAACUCAAGUCUCCAUAAACCAUUGAGCCAACAUGGAGAUAUAAAAGAUCAUACUUUUUAGAUGAUUCCUUAGUAAUUUUAGCAUAGACUAGUGAAUCCUCUUAGUAGUUCAGGUUCUAUAUCGACGACAAGGUAUAGAGUGGUCCUCUUGCAACAUGAGGUAAUACGUUGUACCAUCACUUAGGCUCAUAGAUGGUUGUCGGUUAGAUAAUCUCUCAAAGAAAUUAUAAUACUUUCAAAUAUAUGAGUAAAGUUGAGUUUAUUAUUGAUUUAUCUUUAAUGAACUAAGUGUUUACACUGUUUUACAAGCUUUUCUUAUAUCGCAUGUGUCCUUACUGCUUUAUAUUGAGUCGUUAUUAAUGAGUUGAGCAGAACCAAGGUAAGUUCUUCCUUACUCCUUUCAAGCCUUAUAGUAGUGUUUAGUAUUCCAAUUCGCAUACUCGUUUGGCCUGCAUGCAUCGUCUUAUAAUGCAGAAGCAGGUAAUUAGGAUCAACAUGCAGCACUUUGUUGAACCAGUUUGAGCUCUAGAGUCAGUGGUGAGCCUCCAUGCAUUUCGGAGGAUCCUUUUAUUGCUAUCUAGUUAGUUCAAUAGAAUGUUGUGGGGUUUGUCCCAACAUUCAUCUCAGUCAGUUUAGAGGUUUCAUAGACGGAUAGUAGUAGUUAAGUUGUGUCUCUUUAUUUCAGAUUCUAUAUUUGAGACUUAAGUGCAAAUUUGGCCAAGACAGUAUUUAAAGUCAUUUUUAUGAGAACUUCUUCAAUUCUAUAACUGAAUUAAGUUGAGUCUUCCGCUGAGUUAAGUAAGUCAGACCAAGAGUUCCCUUGAGGCCAGCAAUGGUCACCAAGUGCUAGUCCCACCCAGGGUAUAAGCUCGGAGCAUGCUAAUAUAUGCAUUUCAUAUACGACUUACGUAUUCAGAUACUUUUAACAUUUUGUUAGAGCAGAAGAGUCUUAACUUAUAUAUGUAGGUGAAGUAUUGAUAUAUUGGGAUAUUGGUACUUAUUAUUAUUUUACUUUAAUACUUAUUUAUAAGUCUACAACACACGGUAAGCACACACAAGGUGCUCAACAUGUGUGCUUGAAGUAAAUUUAAUUUUGAAUGAGGUUAAUUUGGUCAUUUUAUAUAAUACUCAAUGUUUCUUUUACUUGUACAAAAUGCAAAAUUGCUUUUAUGGACAUCAAAUGACCAAAAACCCAGUAUCCUUUAACUCAUUGUCAUAUGUUAUAGAACAUUGCAAUUGGUUGAAAAUGAACUUUAAUGUAGUUGCAAUAUAAUUAUUUUUACUUCUUGUCAAAACUGCCCCUAUGCGGCUUAAGCUUAUUUUAUCAACUAUUUGUUAUUACGUGGAGAAAUUAAAGACAUCUUUAGAUGAGUCCUUUUAAGCGGUACCGACCUAGAUAUAUAUAUUCUUUUCGUUUUAUUUAUGUCAUUUUUACUAAAAAUAGGUAAUAUUUAAUAUUUAUCAUUUCACAAAAGUAAUGCAUUAUAUAGUAAUGAAAUCGACUCUCUGAACUCUGUGACGGACCGUCACAGGUACGACGAACCGUCGUGAGCCCCGUUUCAAAACACUUCAACUCUUGAGAAUUUGGUACAGGGAACGAUUCUCUGAACGUCAUGACGGAGGUGCAGGACGGACCGUCGUAGGUACGAUGGGCGUCACAGACUCCUUAAGGAAAUCGAGUCUUUGACGAACCUGCAUGACGGACCGUCGCAGGCACGACGGGCCGUCGCAGGUUGCGCAAUCCCAGUCUAGGUCAGAUUUCUUUACACAUUUUAAGGGACGUUUUUGACUAUUCCUUCUUUAAUUAUAAAGUUAGUGGGUUAAUGUUAAUAAGUCUAAUUACUUGGGGGUUAAAGAGGUAACCUCAAGUUAAUUAGUGGGUUAUUAUUGCCAUCUUUCAUUCUUAAUUAUAUACUAAUUAGGGUAAAAGAAAGAGGGUUUGAAUAAAGAAAAUAGAAAGAACACAAAGAGAGAGAGGGAGAAUCGAACGAGAAGGUGAAAAGAAGAGGAGAAACACAAAGCUUUGGGAAAUUGCUUGCUUGAUUUCUUGUCUUCGGUGGAGGUAGGUUUUGGUUUUCAUGCUAUUCGUAGUAAACUCUUAAUAGCGAAUGAUAUGUGUUAGUAGUAUUGUAAACCCUUCUAUAUGCUUAAUUGUAUGCUUGCAUGAAUGAUGUGAUUAUGGAAUUAUGAAUAAAUAAGCAUGAUGAAGUUAUUGAAUCCCAAAUCUUGAAAAGAAACCUAAUCUACUUUGUUAAUGAUGAUGCCUUGGUAUAAAAGAAGGCUUGAUGAACGAAAGGGGUGAGAUUAGGGGAUCGAGUGCCACAUUCUGGUACCAGUAUAGAGAUAGAGGAUCGGGUGCCACGUUCCGGUACCAGGAUAGAAUGAGGAUCGAAGUGUCACGUUCCGACACCAGGAUAGUAUAUGGAUCGGGUGCCACGUUCCGGUACCAGGAUAGAAUGAGGAUCGGAGUGUCACGUUCCGACACCAGGAUAGUAUAUGGAUCGGGUGCCACGUUCCGGUACCAGGAUAGAAUGAGGAUCGGAGUGUCACGUUCCGACACCAGGAUAGUAUAUGGAUCGGAGUGUCACGUACCGACACGAGGGGAAUAAAUAUAAUGAAUCUUGUAAGAUGCUAAUAUACUCAAUUUAAUGAAACUAAUUCCCAAAUGAGUAUGAUAUUGAGGCUUGAGUCCUCACGUGUGAACUUGACGGUAUUUGUUAAUGAUAUAGUACUUGUUGUUGCUACAUGUUGAGUAUCAUAGUUGAUUUUAUGAUAUUGCUUAAUAUAUAUUGUUUUCUAAUUUCGAGUUGACCGAUGAUAUCUACUCAGUACCCGUGUUUUGUACUGACCCCUACUUUUGUGUUUUCUUCUUUGUUAUUUGUGGAGUGCAGCAAACAUGCCGUCGUCUUCGACUCAACAGUAUUCAAGCCAGUCUUUACUACACCGGAAAUUCAGGGUGAGCUAAUGCUUCUAGCUUGGACUGGAUCUUCUUCUUCAAGUCUUGAUGCCUUGAACUUCCGGCAUGGACUAGCUUCUUAUGUAUUUUUAGCUUCUUAGACAUUUUUAGUUAGUAAUUUGAUCAUAGAUGUUCUUGUGAUGAUGACUUCCAGAUUUUGGGGAAUAAUAGUUAUUGAAUUGGUUUUUAUUUAAUGAGCUUAAGUCUUCCGCAUUAUUUUCUAUUGAUAUACGUUGAAAUGAUAAGGUUUAGAUUGGUUGGUUCGCUCACAUAGGAGGGUAAAUGUGGGUGCCAGUCGCGGCUCGGUUUUGGGUCGUGACAAACCUUGUAUCAGAGCAUUAGGUUCGUUGGUCUCAUCACACAAGAACGAGUCUAGUAGAGUCUUAAGGAACGGUAGGGGGGCGCCUUUACUUUUCUUUGAGGGGCUAUAAGACUUUAGGAAAUUCCAUUCUUUCUUAUCUCUUUCGUGAUACUACUUGAAUCCAAUUGGUAUCUAGGUGAUUCAAAUUGGUAUCUGACCAUCUUCACUCUAUUUCGCAGAUGGUUAGAACUAGAUCAACGACUGCGCCAACACCAACACCGGCAAGACAAGAAACGUCUGAGCCAGCCACUGGGGCUGUGGCUCAAGGAAGAGCAAUAGCAAGAGGUCGUGGUAGAGUUCGUGGGAGGACGUCCUCUAGAGGGAGAGGACGAGUACCUAGCCCAUCUGAUGCUAGGGCGGUGACUCCUCCACCGACUGAGGAAGUAGUAAGAGAGGGUGAGGAAGGGGAGAAUGAACAAGUGCAAAAUGAUGAAUUGCCACCCCAACCUACCCCAGAGAUGAUCAAUCAGGUUCUCGCUUAUCUUAGUGGGUUAUCUGAUUAGGGCCAGACACCUCCAGUGUUUUCUGCACCAGUACCUCAGGUUCCGGAGGUACAACAUGCGGCUACUAUGGCUCCUCGUAUGGAUGCCUCAUUGGACAUAGGCACGUUUCCACGUCUGACUACUGGGCCUAUAAUGACAAAUGAUCAGCAUGAACUUUUCAGUAAGUUCUUGAAAUUGAAACCCCAGUCUUCAAGGGUGCUGAAUCUGAGAAUGCUUACGAUUUUCUGGUUGACUGUCAUGAGCUACUACACAAGAUGGGUAUAGUAGAACGGUUUGGUGUUGAGUUCGUGAGUUAUCAGUUUCAAGGGAACGCCAAAAUGUGGUGGCGGUCACAUGUUGAGUGUCAACCAACAGAGGCACCACCUAUGACUUGGGCCUCAUUCUCUAGCUUGUUUUGGAGAAGUGUGUCAACCAACAGAGGCACCACUAUGACUUGGGCCUCAUUCUCUAGCUUGUUUAUGGAGAAGUAUAUCCCCCAGACUUUGAGGGAUAGGAAAAGGGAUGAGUUCUUGAGCCUAGAUCAAGGUAGGAUGUCGGUUAAUGCAUAUGAGGCUAGGUUUCGCGCACUAUCCAGGUAUGCCACUCAACUUUGUUUCAGUCUACAAGAGCGGAUUCGCCGGUUUGUGAAGGGGUUGAGGUCAGAGUUGCGGAUUUCGGCCUUACAGGUAGCGGCUACGGCAAAAUCCUUCCUAGAAGUGGUAGACUUCGUGAUAGAGGUGGAAGGAGUGAAGCCCAAUGACUUCACCUCGACAUCGACAUCAAAAAGGUUUCGAAAGGGAGGUGAGUUUAAUGGUUCUUACCCUAGGGGAUAGGGUUUCGGAGGUUACUCAGUCCGACCGAUUCAGUCUUCACUACAGACUGUAGUUGGGGGUCCACCUCAGCCGGUCAAAACUUCCUGAGGAGACCUAUGCAUGAACCAAGAAAGUGCUAUGGAUGUGGGUUUCAAUUUUGGAGAUUAAAUAAAUAUUAAUUUUGAAGAUAAAUAAAAAAAAGAUUUACUAACCUACACCAGGCGAAGAUCCCACUUUGAAACCCGCGACGAAGAAAACUUUUGAAAACUCUUACCGCGAUGAGGGUGAAAGAGUAAAAUCAUUUUCUGGAAAAUAAUGAAAACGAGGGGAAAAGCGUAAUAAGAUUUAAGGCAAUUUAGUCUAUGUGGUAGUGCCCUAUUGACAGCAAUAUGGAAUUCAACAUAGCGAAUUUAACAACUUCUCUUAUUAGAAGGGCAUUUUGACACAAUAGUUUCACGGAAGGGUACUUUUUGAGCCGAAAUAUACUUUUAAGGGUAAAUAUGAGUUAUUUUCAGAUAUUUAAGAGUAUUUUUUACUCCUUUUACCUUUUAGUCUACGUGGUAGUGGACCCUAUUGACCGUGCAAUGUGAUGGCAUUUUACAAUUCAUUACAGAAUUGCACUUUUUGACACAAUAGUUUUGACGGGGAGGAGAGUUUUUUGAGCGGAAAUAUAAUUUAAAGGUAAAUAUGAAUAUUUCAGAUAGUUUAAGGAUUCUUUGAGACCCUUUUAUGUUUAAAACUAUAAUGAAUCUUAAUGUCAAAAAACAUUGUAUAAAAUUAAAGGAAAUUAAAAUUCAUGGACAGAUGGUAGGCUAUACUGAAUAUGUUGUAGUAAACAAACAUAUAUAAAACUAUUAAGUUGUAUAAUAUUUUUUAUUUAUUAUAAUCAAACAAAUAAAGUUAUCUUUAAAAUUAAAAUAAAAUGAUUACAUGGAGUCCCAUGAAACAAAAUUUUUGUGACUCUUGAAAAAGAUUACUGGAUACUUCUAGAAAAUAUUUUGACCACUGAUUAUGCAAUUAAUAAAGUUGUAAUUUUGCCCAUAAUAUGUUUAAAUUACAAUAUUGUCAUUGUCCAUCCUAAUCAUGGAAUCUUCUAUAUAAUAGAAAUAUAAUAACUAGAUUCAAGGGUGCCCGUGCUAACGCCAACGCAACGUAUGUUGAUUUUUCUCUUCCAAUUUUAUGUGACAAAAAUGAAUUUGAAAAAAUGAACUAAAUUUUUUAUAUGUGUUUUUUUUUAAAAAAUAUUUUAAAUUAUUAAUUUAUGUACUCUUUUUUGUUGUCAUUUUUGAAUAUAUCUGUUACUUUAUCUAUUUUAUUUUUUAUGAAAUACAGUGAUUUUAGGAAAGUAAACGAAAUUUCUUAUAUGAUUUUCAAUAUAUUUUUAGUUUGUCCAUUUUACUGCGAUUCAUAGUUACUUUUAGUUAUUCACGUUAUUUUCAAACAAUAUAUGCCAAGCUUUUUUUUUGUUUCAAUAAAAAUAAGGGAGUUUCAACAAAAUUUCAUUAUCGGGUUUUACUCAUUUUUUCUAAAAAUUAUUUUAUUGUUCAUUGCUUUUUAAAGUUUUUUUUAAUGUAACUUUCAAAUAUGUAACAAUUUAGAAAUUAAACGAAGAUUAAAGUUUUCAAUCAUUAUAUUUCUAUAAUUAAGAAAAUUAAAUCGCUUUUAAAACUACAUAUAUAUUGCAUAAAUUAGUAAGAAGGAAGCCAACAACUUAUUUUUUAAAAAAAUAUUGAGAGCUCAUUUUUAAAUAGUAAUACAUAAUAUUUCAUUUUUCAUCAUCGAAUCCCUGCUUUUCGGAUUUUAUAUAAAUUAUAAUUUAAUUUAAUUAUUUUUAUUUGUUCAAAAAGAAAAUAACUUCUGAAUUUUAUUUGUUUAUAAAGAUAUUUAAGAUCACAAAAUCAAAAAAAAAAUAUUUCAAUUCACAAAAUUUAAAAAUAUACAUAUAAAUUUUAAUUUUAAUAUUUGAUUGGGUUCACCUAAAUAUUAUACUUGAUAUAUAAUUAUUAAGAGCUAAGCGUAUCAUUAAUCUAUUUACUUUCGUAUAAUAAAUAGAUAUAGCAAUAACUCUUAAAAAAUGAGAAAUAAAAACGAAAUGAGAUAUACUAAUAAUAAUCACUAAAGAUUUUCUAGAACUAGUUUAAAUUUCUUGUUAUCAAUCGUGUUAGUUUUUUUGCUUGCAUAAAUUUCAUUUUUACUUCGAUCAUCAUUCACUUCAAUAUAUAGAAUAAUGUUUCUAGAAUUAUUUAUUCUUGAUAAAUUAAUUGUUAGAAUGAAUUACACAUUUUAUCUUAGUCGUCUUAUACAAAGUAUCACCUAUUUUUUUUAUUUGUCAAGUUACUUUUUAAGAUUUUUUAUUUAUUUCAGUCUACUAUAUAUUAUUAAUUUAUCACACUUUAUUUAUUUUCAAGUUAUUAUAGAGUCAAAAUAAAGAUUGGAAAAUAAUUAAUUCAUGAUACUUUUUAUAUAAAAAGUAGGCAUAUAUUAUAAGCAUAAUGAAUAGAAAAAAAUAUUAAGAAUUAAUUAUUAAGUAAUAGUAAAGUAGCAGUAAUUAUAAAUAGAUAUAACAAUCUCACAAAAGAAAAGAAGUGAAGUGAUAACAAAAUAAGUUAAUGGUAAUAAUAAUACUUAAAAUAUUCUAGAACUAUUAUUUUUUUUUUUUUUUGUUAUCAUUCUUCAUAGAUUUUUUUUGUUAGCCAUGUGAAUUAUAUUUUGCCUGUAACGACCUGUUUAGUCGUUUGGAGCAGCAGAGUUAAUUUCCUGAAAAUCACUCGUUGGGUCGAUCGGAUCCACGACGAAACCGUUUCAAAAAAUGGGCCCAAAAAAAAAACGAACCGGACGUCGAGGGUGUCUCGUGCCAAAACACUUAGAAUUUAGAAAUUUGGUACUGAGAUCGACCUCUGAACUUCACGACGAAAUGGAGGACGGAACCGUUGAGGGGCUCGACGGACGUCAAAAUCCUUACCGCAGAAUUAACUCUCUGAACCUUGUGCACGGAACGUGCGGACGGACCGUCAAGUUGUGACGGACCGUCACAGGCUGCGUGACCUGACUGGUCCGGAUUUUCUGUUAAUAUUUUAGGGCGCGAUUUUGGACUAUUCUACUUUUAUACACUUAUCAAGUUUAGUGGUUUAAUGGUUAAUAAUUUAAUUACUUGGGGUUUAAAGAGAGAACCUUGGAACAAAUAGUGGGAUAUUUUAUCAUCUUUUUAUACUUAAUUUAUAUGCUAAUUGGUAAAAGAAAGAGGGUUUGAAUAAAAAAGAAAAAAGAGCAGAGAGAGGGGAGAACGAUCGAUUGAGAGAGAAGAAGAACGCAGCUUUGGGAAAGUAGAUUGCUUGAUCACAAUCCUUCGGUGGAGGUAGGUUAAUGGUUUACUUGCUAUUCGUAGUAAACCUUAAUUAGCGAAUGAUAUGUUUUGGGUAUGUUGUAAACCCUUUAUAUGCUUAUUGUAUGCUUUGCAGAAGUGAUUAUUAUUGUGAUAAAUAAGCAUGAUGAAGCCUUUGAUCCUAAAUCUUGAAAAUCCUAAUCUACUUUGUUAAUGAUGAUGCUUUGGUAUAAAGAAGGCUUGAUGAACGAAAGUAGUAAAGAUUAGGGGAUCGGAGUGUCACGUUCCGACACCCAGGAUAGUAUAUGCGAUCGGGUUGCCAACGUUCCGGUACCAGGAUAGUAUAAUGAGGAUCGGAGUGUCACGUCGACACCAGGAUAGUAUAAGUGGAUCGGGUGCCACGUUCCGGUCCAGGAUAGUAAUAAUGAGGAUCGGAGUGCCACGUUCCGGUACAAGGAUAUUAUAUGAGGUCGGAUGUCACGUUCCCGACACCAGGAUAGUAUAGUGGAUUCGGGUGCCACGUUCCGGUACCAGGAUCAGUAUGGAUGAAGGAUCGGAGUGUCACGUUCGACACCAGGAAUAGUAUAUGGAUCGGGGUGCUCAGUACCAGACACGAGAGAAAUAAAGAAUAAUGAUCUUGAAAGAUGUUUAAUUAACUCAAUUUAAAUGAACGCUAAUUCCAAAUGAGUAUAGAGGGGAGGCAGUGAGUCCUCAUUGAUUGUGGCUUGGUGUUGUUGACCAAGAGUUAUGAUAAUUAUAAAUGCGCAUGUUGAGUAUUGUAGUUGAUUUUAGAUAUAUCUGAUAUAUAUCUGUUUUCUAUUUUUGAGUUGGCCGAUGAUAUCUACUCAGUCUCGUAGUUUUUGUACUGACGCCCUACUUGUAAUUGUUUUUGUCUUUGUUAUUUGUGGAGUGCAGCAAACGUACGUCGUCUUCAAUCAACGCAAACUCUAAGCCCGUCUUCAAUUACAACCGGAUUUCAGGGUGAGCUAACGUUCCUAGCUUGGACUGGAUCUUUUCUUCAUGUCUUGAUGCCUUGAAGUUCCGGAAUGGACUAGUUUUUUUAUUUAUUCUAUAGCUUUUCUAAAUACUCUUAGAAUUCAGUAAUUUGAGGAUAGACUUGUUCUUGUGAUGAUGACUUCCAGAUUUUGGGAAUAAUAAGUAUUAGAGUUUUUAGACGUUUAUUACAUUCAACAAGAUUAUAUACAUAUAUAAGAAGAUUUAGUCUUUCCGCAUUAUAAUUCUGUUUAUUAUGGUUCAAAUGUUGGGGUUUAGAUUGGUUGGUUUCGCUCACAUAGGGGGUAGUGUGGGUGCCACUCGGGUCCCGCUUUGGUCGUGACAUUUGCCCUUGAUCUAUUAUUCACUUUACAUAUAUAGAAGAUGUUUCUAGUAUUAUAUCAAUUAUCUUUGCUUAUAGAUUUUUGUUAGCGUGUGAAAUUAAUUUUGGACCUUAAUCGUCCUCCACUUCACUCUUCUAUAUAAUUGAAUAGAAAUAACAUUAUAUAAAAUAAAUAUUUAUAAAUGUUAUAAGUUUUCUAUAUCCUUUUUUUAUAGUGAUUAAUUAACAAAUAGGUAAAUCGGAUAUGUUCGGGUAAAAUAAAUAUAUAUGAGAAUGUAUUUAUUGUGAUAUAUGGCAAUUCAUCAAUAGUCAGUCUCUAAUAAUUUAUAUAUUAGUAGUGAAGUAUAUGUUAAAUUUUAAAACGAGGAUUUUACAUAAGUGGAGAAGACUUCUUUUCUUUUUUAUUUUCUCACGAGAUUUUACAUUUUAAAAUUAGUUUAUAACUUAACAUUAAAUUACUUUAUAUGUAUUUUACUUAUUCAAACUCUCACUAUCAAUAUUGUACAUUUGUUUAUUUUUGGUCUUCAUAUUAACCCUAGUAUAGCCUUGCUAAACUAAAUUUUGAAAAUUAUUAUAGUAAGGUGUUUGUUUCCUCACCUCAUAUAUUUACAUCAUAUGCAUAAAAAUUAUGUUAAAUGAAUCAACAAUAUUUUUUUUAUUUAUUUUUAAGAGAGCUAGUUAUUUGGGGCCGCUAAAGCCUACUUCAAAAUUAGGCAAAUCAAAAGAAGGAAGUGUACUAUCAACAAGUAAAAAUGUCAACCUACUCUAAAAAGUUUGGACAAUUUUUAAAGAUAACUGAAAUACUAGAGACAUUAGUAAAUAUUGCGUGAAUCACUUAAUAAAUCGAAAAACAUAAUAUUUUGGAGAUAGUUUUACUAAAAUAUUUUUAACAAUAAACUUGAAUGUUGUACAUAUUUAUUGAAUUGUGGGUAUAGAGACAAUUUUUAGCUUUUUUUCUGAUUUAACAAUAUAUUAAUCGCGAAAGAAGUCAUGUGUUCUUAAUAAAUAAUCGCUAAUGGCAAUUAUUUGCUGCUAAAAAUUCUUCCUCUAAUAAACUUAUUUACACUUUUAGCGUUUAAGACGCAAUGUCCAUCUUAAACUAAUAAUAUUUGGGAAAAAAAAAGGAGGAAAUAAAUUAAACUCAAUUGGGGGAUAACAAUUUUCUUUUAAUUAGUAUGUUAUAUAUACAUUAUUUCAAUUAUACUUUCGAGUUUUUGAUAUACGAAAAUAUAAUGUCAAACUUUAAGAGCAAGAAUUUACAAAAUGAGAACGACUUUUUUUUAAAAUAUAAUGUCCAAACUUUAAAUGACAAGAUUUACAAACCAUGAGACCGACCUUUUUUUUUAUUAUAACGUUUUUUUAUAUAUUAUAUAUAUACAUACACACACACAUCUAUAUCCAUAAUAUCAUUGACUCUUAUUAUAGAUAGGAAAGAGGUUUAAAAUAUAUCAUUGAAACUUUCGAAAAAAACUCAUGUUAUUCAUCAGUUUAAAAGUUUGGUCUCAUUUAUGCCAUUAACCUGUUUAAAAAGAUUCAUUUCUUGCCAUUAUUUUUUAUAAUGGUUUUCGCAAAACCAUUUUUAAUACGUGACCAAUUUAACUCGGCUACGUCCUCCCAUUUAUUUAAUUAAAAAUCAUCAUUCUAAAAAAAAUUGCAUUCAUUUUUUUUUUGAUUUUUUUAUUAAUAUUUGAUGAAUGGCAAUUGAAUUCAGUGGAUUUUCUUAAUUUGGGCGGGUCUUUUAUUUGAGUGGGGUUUUAUUUAUGUUUUUCUUCAGAAUUGAUAUCAAAAAAAAAUAAAAAAUGAUGUGGCCGAAUCAUAACUUUGUCACGUGGUGAAAAGGGUUGGGCCAAAUCGCGCCGUUAAAAACUAAUGGCAGAAAUGAGUCUUUUUCCUAAAUGGUAAUAACAUGAACGAGUUCAAACUUUUAACGGAUCACAUAAUGAAGAUCUUUUCUAAAAGUUCAACCGGCAUAUUUGAGCUUUUUCCCUUAUUUAAAAAAAGUGCUUACAUAACACUCAUUUAUUACAUAAAUAUUUCUAAAAUAUACCAUUUUUUCUAACGGGAGUGAAAAAAAUAUUUUUUUAAACAUAAUUUUUUCAUUUUUUUAAGAAAGUAAAAUCUUGAAUAUAUUAUCUUCCACUUUCUAGAAAUAUUUAUGCCUACAAGAUUUUUUUUUAUUUUUAAAAUUAAAAUUAAUAUUUUCACUUCCAUUAGAUUGAUGAAGAUAUAUCUGAAUCACUUUUUAUAAAAUGGUAAGGAUAUGUAUGAACUCUUAUUUAAUCAAAAUGUGAAUUAUUUUUAUAAUGAGCGAUAUAAAAAUUUUAAUUGCAAAGUUAUGAAGACUUUUUAUUUAGGGAAAAGGGUCUGAUAUACCCCUCAACUUUCAUUUAGAGCUGAUAUGGCCCUUGUGUGAAAGUGGCAUCAUAUAUACAUUAGCUUGUAAAACAAAUGGCUCACAUAUACCCUUUCCUCUAACGGAAAUGGAAAAAAUAAUCUUUACUAAUUUUUUAAUAAUUUUUUUGUCUAAAAAUUAUAUCCCAUAUGAGUAAAUUUAAUCCGUCGUAAAACAUAUUUUUUUUAAACCUUUUUUUAGUUUCAAAUGACUAUUUAUAAUUAUUAUUUUGGAUAAUCAAAUUUAUUUAUGUUUCACUAAUAUUCUUGUAAAGACUUAUUGUUAGAUGAACCAAUUUUUUCUUCGAUACCGAAUUAAAAUUACAAUACAGCACAAAAAAUAGUUUAAAUUUUUUCUCUUUAAACUAAGGAAUUGGAACAGAAAACAUAAGAAUAGAAAACUCAAAUAAUUAUAAUAAAAAAGUCAAAAAAUAAUUUAUAUAAUGAACAAAUAAAUAUCGCUGAACUUUUGAUAGAAGAAUCAUAUAUAUCCCUAAAUAAUUUUUUUAAAAAAUUAAGUAAUAAAUAUGCCAAUUUAAACUAAUUUUUUUAACUUCCGUUAAAUGAAGUGGUAUAUAUGAAGCCAUUUUGUAACGUGGAGGGGUAUAUGUGAGCGCAGCCGUUUGUAUACACGGUAAGGGCAAUAUAUGAAGCACUUUUAUAACGGGGGCGUAUUAUUAGCUCAAUAAACAAAGUUGAGGAGUAAUAUCAGACCUUUUUCUUUUAUUUAUUGUAUAAAAGCUUUCAUAUACUAGUUACAUAUUUAAAUAUUGAAAAUGUUGAUAAGAGAUACCCAUUAAAUGCUAAAGUAAUUGGUAUUGUUAAAAAAUUUCCUUUUAUUUUAUUGUAAUAUAUCUAACAUCCUCGUACUUCACUAACUAAGAAUAAAACUAAGAAUCAAGAAUAAUCAUUUUUUUUGGAAAUAAAUAGGAAAUUCCUGAAAAAUUUACCAGUUGUAAAAAGUGAGUUUUUGGUCAAUCUUCAAACGACCAUAACUCCCAGCUUAGGAGGACGUUUAGGUGUGAGUUCCUUAUUGGUUGGAAAUCCCUUGGAAAGAAAUUUCCAAACGCCAAGUUUGUACAUUUUAAGAUGUGCGUAUGAAGGAGAUAUGAUUUCGAAAGUUUUGGUUUGUUGGAGUGAGGAAAAUUCAAUCCGGAUUUAGUAGGAUAAAGUAGUCUUUUCACUCUAUAUUUCUAAUUCGUUUUUAAAGGGUUUUAUUAGGGGUAAAUCAAGUCCAUAUUCAGUUUUGAAACAGUUGAGAACGCUCAUGGCUUGGGAGAAAAGAGAGAGACCAAAUUUCUUCAAAGAAGCUCAGGUUUCGCUAGAGGAAUUCAUCGGGGGUGAUCUCUAUUCGAGGUAUAAUGAGUAUCUUUCUUAUGUUGGUCGUUCACCCCACACACCACUGUUUUAUUUAGACAAUUUUUGUAUUGAUUGAAUAAUGAAUCUUGAAGUUCUUGAUGAGCCAAUUGUUGAUCCUUAUUGGUAGAGUUGUAAGUGUCUUUAGUUGGUGUUGUUCGUAUUUUCAGGCUGUUUUACGAGUCUAACUAUUGGGUAAUGAGUUAGUAUUAGUGAUUGAUACGCUCAAACUUACUUUUUAAAUAAGAAGUAAGCAGUAAAUGGGGUUUCUAUCUCCUAAAUAAAUGAAAAUACUAAAGCGAAAUUAAGGGGACAACUAACCUUCGAUGUUGGAGUUUAAUCACUUAAUCAAAGUAACUAGGGUUUACGUGUUUCCCCCCACAGGUUUCAUAACUUGAUAAUUCUAAAUAUAACAUUCUUUUCUUUUCUUGUAUCUUGCAUUUGCAAGUGAUAAGUUAUGUAUUUCUAAAUCCUUGGUCGCGGCAUCUAGAAAAUUUUCACUCGGCAACCGGUUGGUCCGACUACGUGUGGUUUUCGCUAUAAUAACCCUUAUUAUUUACCUCAUAUUAAGCAUCCGUAUUCGUAUUUGACUAAGUUAUUACCCCGUACCAAUAAUAUCAGCCCUAUUACGAUAGUAUACACUAAAUUUAUUAUUGGAUAAUUUUUCUAUUUCUUCUCUCUUGGUCCGACAAGUAGCAUUAAAGCGCGAGUUCCUAACGUUGGCCAUCCGUUAAAGACUUCCAAGCGAAAGAAUUAUCAAUACAUGCAAGACACUAUUCUAGAAUUGUUAUUUUUACGUUGAUUUUACUCAUUAUUCGCCUAUGGUUCCCAACUACCCUAAUUAUGGAGUUUAGUUACCAUAAUCAUAAUCAAAUAAUUCCAAAUAUAUGAUAUAAGAAUUCAUGCACUUACUUCAAUGAGAAAGAGUUAAAGAUCAAAAGUUACGCUUGUUAUCACAAUCAAUUACAAGAAUAUAAAUAUCAGAAUCUCACAAAAAGUCCUAAAAAAUAAUCAAAGAGUCUAACAAUAAUCAAGGGCUAUACCAAUAAUCCAGAGUCUACCUCAAAAACGAGGUUUUUUCAAACUAUUUAUAAAUAAAACUAAUUACAUAAGGACUCUAUUUUGCUGGAAAUCUGUCAAACGCGGCUGGGUUCAACGGACCUCGGCGACGGAGCGUCGUGGUCACGACGGCUCCGUCAUGGAACGACGGACCGUCAGUGGAUCCGUCGUCCGCAUACCUUGAUGCAAUUUCUUAUGCUGCUCUCGCUCUUCAUUACCCUCGACGCAAGGUUGAUGGAUCGUUACAGGCACAACGAUCCGUCGAGGGUCUCCGUUCAAAACACUUGAACUCUUGGACAUAUGGGUACUGGGACUACUUCUCUGAACUUAUGCGAUGACUGCAGGACGGACCGUCAUGGAUACGACGGUGUCACGCAUUUUGUUAAACCCCACCCUUGGUCAGACUUCCCAUUUUUCGCUUCAGGCAGUGCUACGUUGGCCACCUACGGACCGUCACGAGCAUGACGGACCCGUCACAUAGGCAUGACGGAACGUCACAAGCAUGACUGGACCGUCACAGCAUGAGGACGGUCACAAGCUCCGUAGGUGGUCUCUUCUGCUAUUCUUUGCUCAAAACCUCCGCAUUCAAUUUUUGGCUAGAUUUCCUGAAAUAAGGAGAAACUUAUAUAAACAUUAGCAGCAAAAAGAAUUUUUUGGACAGCACUAACUUAAGGAAAAAAUAUUAAAUAAUACGUGAACCAUAGUAUAUCAGUGAUGCCUAAAGUUGUUUGGGAUAAAUCAUGAAUGUUUUGCAGGUUUAGGUUGAAAAUGCGGAGAAGAAAAGUCAGAAAACUCGUUGACAGGUCUUGUGGCAAUUCCGUGCUACAAGAGCCCUCAGGACAGACUCUUUCUGUCAGGCUCUGGCGCGCCGCCGUGCAGCUAGAGCGGCCUGAAGACAGUGUCUGUCGUCAGGCUCUGGUGCCCCGCGCCUCUCAGAGCGCAAGGGUCAGCCUGGUGAUUCCUUAUUCUCUCUCACCAUCUUUUCGUACGAGUUCCUAAGUGACGGUUCUAUUAUUUCUAGUUCGUUCCAAUAACUCUAAGUAAAUAUAAAACAUUAUGAAAUCAAUCCUAUAAUGAAUCAGGAUCGUGAAUUUUUGCAUAAUCCAAUCAAGGGAAGUUAAGAUCAAGUCAAAAAAGUUUAAGAGUCAAGUUAAAAGUUAUAAAAAACAGUUCAAAGUAGUUCCUAAAGCAUUCAAGAGUUUUAACAAACAUUUUACUUUGUUUUAAGGAUUCAAGCAUGAGUUGAGCAAAAGAGUAAAAGAGUUGAGUUAAAUUUUCAAAAGCUAUAAGGGAACUAGUAUUCCCUAAGAGUUAGUUUUCAAGUUAAAGCAAAUAGUAACAAGUUCGAGGUUCAGCUUCUCAAGAGUAGAAGGGAACUAAGUAGUCUCUUAACAGUUUAACAAGAAUGUUUUUCAACUUUUGAGAAGAAAGGAAGCUAAGACUUCCACAGAGCCUAUGAAUGUUUUAGUUAAAAGAAAAAGGAAACUAUGAUUUCUAAGAAAGUUUUUGAAGCAAAGUUUGAGAAAUUCAUCUCAAACUAGCAGAAGCAAGUUGUUUUAAAAAAACAUAUGAGCUAAGUAUUUUGGGAGUAGUAUUGAGCACGAUAUGGUGAGCGCGAGUUCAUAUUAACGUCAAGUCUCCAUAAACCAUUGAGCAACAUGGGAUAUAAAAGAUAUACUUUUAGAUGAUUCGCUUAGUAUUUUAGCAUAGAUAGUGUGAUCCUCUUAGUAGUUUCAAGGUUCUAUACGACGACAAGGUAUAGAGUGGUCCUCUUGCAACAUGAGGUAAUACGUUUGUAACCAUCACUUAGCUCAUACGAUGGUUGUCCGUUAGAUAAAUCUCUCAAAGAAAUUAUAAUACUUUCAAAUUAUAUGAGUAAAGUUGAGUUUUUUAUUGAUUUAUCUUUAAUGACUAAGUGUUUACCUGUUUUUUCAAGCUUUUCUUUUAAUAUCGCCAUGUGAUCCUAUACUGGCUUUAUAUUGAGUCGUUAUUAAUUGAAGUUGAGCAGGAACCAGGUAAGUUGCUUCCUUACUCCUUUCAAGCCUUAUAGUAGUGUUUAGGUAUUGCCAUUACGCAUACAUCGUUUGGCUGCAUGCAUAGUCUUUAAUGCCAGAAGCAGGGUAAUUAGGAUCAACAUGCAGCACUCUUGUUGAACCAGUUUGAGGCUCUAGAGUCAAGUGGUCGAGCCUCAUGCAUUCGGAGGAUCCUUUUUAUUGCUAUCUAGUUAGUUCAAUAGAUGUUGUGGGGUUUGUCCCAACAUUCAUCUCAGUCAGUUAGAGGGUUUCAUAUGACGGAUAGUAGUAGUUAGUUGUUCUCUUUUAUUUCAGAUUCUAUUAUUUGAGACUUAGUGCAAAUUUUGGCCAAGGACAGUAUUUAAAGUCAUUUUUAUGAGAGUUCUUGCAUUCUAUAGACUGAAUUAAGUUGAGUCUUCUGUGAGUUAAGUAGUCAGACCACGAGUUCCCUUGAGGGCGCAGCAUGGUCACCAGUGCUAGUCCAACCCAGGGUAUAAAUGCUCGGAGCAUGCUAAUAUAUGCAUUUUUCAUAUACGACUUACGUAUUCAGAUACUUUUAACAUUUUGUUUAGAGCAGAAGAGUCUUAACUUAUUAUGCUAGGUGAAGUAUUGAUAUAUUGGGAUAUUGGUACUUAUUAUUAUGUUUACUUUAAUCUUAUUUAUAAGUUACAACACACGUAAGCACACACAAGGUGCUCAACAUGUGUGCUUGAAGUAAAAUUAAUUUUGAAUGAGGUUUAAUUUGGUCUUUUAUAUAAUACUCAAUGAUUUUCGCUUUUUUACCAACUUUUAAAACACACUUGUAAAAAUGCAAAAUUGCUUUUAUGGACAUCAAAUGACCAAAAACCGCGCGAGUAUCCUUUAACCUCAUUGUAUAUGUUAUAGAACAUUGCAAUUGGUUGAAACUGAACUUUAAAUGUAAGUUGCAAUUUAUUAUUUUUCUUCUUGUCUAAAACUGCCCUAUGCGGCUUAAGCUUUAUUUUUAUCAACUAUUUGUUUAUUAGUGGAGAAAUAGCUCUUUAGAUGAGUCCUUUUAAGCGGUACCGCGAGCUAGGAUAUUAAUAUAUGUCUUUUCGUUUUAUUUUAUGUCAUUUGUUACUAAAAAUAGGUAAUAUUAAUAUUUAUCAUUUCACAAGUAAUGGUAAUCAUUAUAUAGUAAUGAAAUCGACGUCUCUGAACUCUGUGACGGACGUCAGGUACGACGAACGUCGUGAGCCCGUUUCAAAACACUUCAACUCUUGAGAAUUUUGGUACAGGGAACGAUUCUCCUGAAACGUCAUGACGGAGGUGCAGGACGGACCGUCGAGGUCGAUGGCCGUCACAGAUCCUUAAGUGAAUCGAAGUCCUUUGACGAACCUGCAUGACGGCCGUCGCAGGCACGACGGGCCCGUGCGCAGGUUGGCAUCAGUCUAAGGUCAGAUUUCUUUACACAUUUUAAGGGACGUUUUUGACUAUUCCUUCUUUAAUUUAAAGUUAGUGGUUAAUGUUAAUUAAGUUAAUUACUUGGGUUGGUUAAAGGGUUAAACCUCAAGUUUAAAUUAGUGGGUUAUUAUUGCAUCUUUCAUUCUUAAUUAUAUACUAAUUGGUAAAAGAAAGGGGUUUUGAAUAAAGAAAAUAGAAGAACACAUAAGAGGAGGGGAGAUAUCGAACGAGAAGGGAUAAAAGAAGAGGAGAACACAAAGCUUGGGAAAUUGGCUUGCUUGGAUUUCUUGUUUCGGUGGAGGUAGGUUUUGGUUUUCAUGGCCUAUUCGUAGUAAACUUUAAUAGCGAAUGAUUGUGUUAGUAGUAUUGUAAACCCUUCUAAUUGCUUAAUUGUAAUGCUUGCCAUGAAUGAUGUGAUUAUCGGAAUUAUUGAAUAAAUAAGCAUGAUGAAGUUAUGGAAUCCGCAAUCUUGAAAAGAACCCUAAUUACUUUGUUAUGAUGAUGCCUGGUAAUAAAAGAAGGCUUGAUGAAGCGAAAGGGGUGAGAACAUAAAUCAAAUGGAGUGAGCUCAAAUUUAGUGAAUUUUUUUUUAAAAAAUAUUUUGUUGUUUAACAAUUUUUAAAAUGAAAAUGCUAAACCUUUUUCACAAUUAUGUUUUAUAGUUUUUUUAUCAAUAUCUAGUCGAUGAUAACCAUAAUUUUAAUAUAAAUAAUAUAAUAAGGUAACUUAAUUCUGAAAUUCAAGUAUUGAUAUUUUUGAGAAAAUAUUUAUUUAUAAAUUGUAAAACAUUCAUAAUCUAAUAUUUAAUAUGUUUCUUACUCUCAACGAAUGACACUAAUUCAUCAUGAUUCAAAAUUGUAAGAAGUAAAAAUCAAUACUAAAAAGUGCAACUCAUUAUUAUAUGAAGUUUAAUAUGUAGUUUAUCUAUUGUCGAAAGUUUUCCAAGUAUAUGAUAUAUAAUUCUAUGAUAAAUUAAUUUUUGAUCCCAUAUAUUUAUACUAUUUUCAAAUUUAUCCCGUUAAUUGAUUAUAUAUUUUCUUAAACUACAAUUACGCGAUCAUUAUUUAUCAAUUCUACUUUAUCAACUUUAUAUUCUUCUUUUUAUAUCUUUAGAAUUGUGCUAUUUUUGUUUUCUUAUUUAAGUUACAAUUUUAAAGAUAAAAUAAAUAUUUUUGGAGAUAAAAUAAGUUAAAUAAAAAACUAUAUGAAUACUUAUGUUGAAAAAAAAUAUAUAUAAUUAAAAAAUUGUCCUAUUUUUAUUUUCUUAUUUAAGUCACAAUUUUUAAAGAUAAGAUAAAUAUUAUUUUGAGAUAAAAUAAGUUAAAUAAAACUAUAUGAAUACUUUUGUUUAGAAACAUUAUAUAUAAUUAAAAAAAUUACAUAUAUGAAAGAUUUUAUAAAUUAUACUGGUUAUGUUGUAGUAGUAAUAAACAUAGAUGAACAAUUUGUAUUGUCAAGAGUAUAAAAAUAAAAAUAUUUUUCACAUUAUUAUUAUAUCAAACAAAUACAAAUUGAUUUUCAAAAAGAAUAAUAAAAUGUAUUUGUGGGUCACACAUGAAACAAAAAUAUGUGAUUCUUGAAAAAAAAAUAAUAGAUUCUUCUAGAAAACUAUUUUGACAAUUAAUUAUACAAUUAUAAAUUUAAAACUUAACCCAUAAAAAUAAUUAAAAUUACAAAAUUGUCAUUGAUUGGCCUCAUCAUGACUCUUAUGUAUAAUAGAAACUAGAUAAUUGAAGGCCCGUUCAUGGGCUCAAUAUAAUUAAUUAUUUUUUUCAAUUUUAAGUUAAAAAAAUUAUCCAAAUUAAUAUCUUAUUUUAUCAUAGUUUCUAAAAUUUUCUACUAUUUAAACAAUUACAAAAAUGUCCUCUAAGAUACAUUCUUAUCCUCUGUCGGACACAUCAGUAUCUCCUCUCGAAUACAUUCCUAUCAUUUCUUGAAUACAUCUUUAUCUCAUCCUGAAACAUCCAUAUCCUCUCUGGGAUACAUCUCUCCCCUUUCGGAUACAUUCAUUCUCUCUCGAAUACAUCCCUACCUUCUCGAAAUCAUCGUGAGCUCUAUGUCUGCAAGUUUCCUCAAUAGCAAUGUAUCACGAUCGAUGUAUCCGCAUGUGUUGAUUUAUCUGAAAUUAUUUAAUUUUAAAAAGAUUUCGUAAUUUGAAAAAAGUAGGAAUAUAAUGUAAUUAACUCUUUACUCUAUGACAUAUUUUUCUUUGUAGUCAGUUUCAAAAGAAUGAUGUAUAACAUAUUUAAAUAACAUUUUGACUUUAAAAUAUUCAUUCUAUUCUUAGUAAUAUUAUUUAUAGUCAUAUGAACAUCUAUGGUUUGUUUUAGACCAUGAGUUUUAGAAGUGUUUUUUCUUUUAAAAAUUUUCGUGUUAAGUUAAAUUAAAAUUCCAUAAACCGAAAGGGAGUGAGUACAAACUUUAGAUCAAUUUUAUAUUUAUAAAAUUAAAGUUUUUGUAACUAUUUUGUCUUUUAACAAAAUUUAAAAUGAAAUAAUUCACAAUUAUUUUUAUAGUAUUUUUUUAAAAUCAAUAUUCUAUCAAUAAUAAUAAAUUUUUUUUAAUUUAAAUAAGAUAAUAAAGUAUUUUAAUUUUGAAAUUCAUGUAUUGAUAUCAAUUGAGAAAAUAUUUAAUUUUAAGUUGUAAAACAUUCAUAAUCUAAUAUUUAAUGUGCUCCUUACUCUCGAUGAAUGACACUAAUUUAUAAUAAUUCAAGAUUGCAAGAAGUAGAAAUCGAGACUAAAACGUGCAACUCACUAUUAUAUGAAGGUCACUAUGUAAUUUAUCUAUUGUGGAAGUCUCAUUAGUAUAUGAUAGAUAAUUCUAUGCCAAAUUAAUUUUUGUUUUCAUAUAUUUAUACAAUUUCAAAAUUUAUCCCGUUAAUUGGUUAUGUAUUUUAUUAAACUACAACUGCACUCAUUAUUUCAUCUUUUUUUUUUAUUCUUACAUUAUCAACUCUAUUUUUUUAUCUCUUUAGAAUUGUGAUACUUUUGUUUUCUUAUUUAAAUCACAAUGUUUUAAAGAUAAAACAAAUUUUAUUUUGGAGAUUAAAUAAAUAUUAUUUUGAAGAUAAAAUAAAAAAAAGAUUUACUAACCUACAACCAGGAAGAUCCACUUUGAAACCCAGCGACGAAGAAAACUUUGAAACUCUUAGCCGCGAAAUGAGGGUGAAAGAGUAAAAUCAUUUCUGGAAAAUAAUGAAACGAGGGGGAAAAAAGCGUAAUAAAGAUUUAAGGAAUUAGUCUAUGUGGUAGUGGACCCUAUUGACAUGCAAUAUGGAAUUCACAUAGCAUUUAACAACUUCUCUUAAUUAGAAGGGCAAUUUUGACCCAAUAGUUUCACGGAAAGGGUACUUUUGAGCCGAAAUAUACUUUAAGGGUAAAUAUGAGUUAUUUCAGAUAGUUUAAAAGUAUUUUUUACCCUUUUACUUUUAGUCUACGUGGUAGUGGAACCCUAUUGACGUGCAAUGUGAUGGCAUUUAACAACUUCCAUUAAUAAGAAUUGCACUUUUGACACAAUAGUUUGACGGGGAGGAGAGUUUUGAGCGGAAAUAUAAUUUAAGGUAAAUAUGAAAUAUUUCAGAUAGUUUAAGGAUAUCUUUGACCCUUUUAUGUUAAAACUAUAUGAAUACUUAUGUCUAAAAAACAUUGUAUAAAAUUAAAAGGAAAUUAAAUCAUGGAAGAUGGUAGGUUAUACUGAAUAUGUUGUAGUAACAACAAACAUAUAUAAACUAUUAAGUUGUAUAAAUAUUUUUUAUUUAUUAUAAUCAAACAAAUAAAAGUUAAUUUUUAAAAAUUAAAUAAAAUGAUUACAUGGAGUCACCAUGAAACAAAACUUUUUGUGACUCUUGAAAAAGAUUAUUGGAUACUUCUAGAAAAUUAUUUUGACCACUGAUUAUGCAAUUAUAAAGUUGUAAUUUUGCCCAUAAAUAAUGUUUAAAAUUACAAUAUUGUCAUUGGUCAUCCUAAUCAUGACUCUUCUAUAUAAUAGAAAUAAUAAUAACUAGAUAUCAGGUGCCCGUGCUAACGCAAACGCAACGUAUGUUAGAUUUUUCUUCUUCCAAUUUAUGUGACAAAAAUGAAAUUUGAAAAAAAUGAACUAAAUUUUUUAUAUGUGUUUUUUUUAAAAAUAUUUUAAAUUAUUAAUUUAUGUAUCUUUUUUGUCAUUUUCGAAUAAUAUAUGUUACUUUAUCUAUUUUAUUUUAUAUGAUACAAGUGAUUUUAGGAAAGUAAACGAAAUUUCUUAUAUGAUUUUCAUAUAUUUUUAGUUGUCAUUUUACUGCGAUUCAUAGUACUUUUUAGUUAUUACGUUAUUUUCAAACAAUAUAUGCAACUUUUUUUUUGUUUCAAUAAAAAUAAGGGAGUCAACAAAAUUUCAUUAUGUUUUUUCAACUACAUUUUUCUAAAAAUAUUUUAAAUUGUUACAUUGCUUUUUAAAGUUUUUUUAAAUGUAACUUUCAAAUAUGUAACAAAUUAGAAAUUAAAACGAAGAAUUAAAGUUUUCAAAUCAUUAUAUUUCUAUAUUAGAAUAUUAAAACCUUUAAAACUACAUAUAUAUGCAUAAAUUAGUAGAAGGAAGCCUAACAACUUAUUUUUAAAAAAAUAUAUGAGAGCUCAUUUUAAUAGUAAUACAUACAUAUUUCAUUUUUCAAUAUCCGAAUCCCUCCUUUUCGAUUUAUAUAAAUUUAAUUUAAUUUAAUUUUUAUUUUGUUUCAAAAAGAAAAUAACUUCUGAAUUUUAUUUGUUUAUAAAGCAUAUUUAAGAUCACAAAAUCAAAAAAAAAUUUCAAUUCACAAAAUUUAAAUAUACAUAUAAAUUUUAAUUUUAAUUUUGAUUGGUUCCACCUAAUAUUAUACUUGAUAUAUAAUUAUUAAGAGCUAAGCGUAAUCAUUAUCUAUUUACUUUCGUAUAAUAAAUAGAUAUCACAAUAACUCUUAAAAAAUGAAGAAAUAACGAAAAUGAGGUAAUACUAAUAAUAAUCACUAAAGAUUUUCUAGAACUAGUUAAAUUUCUUGUUAUCAAUCGUGUUAGUUUUUUGCUUGCAUAAAUUACAUUUUUACCUUCGAUCAUCAUUCACUUCAUAUAUAGAAAGAUGUUUCUAGAAUUAUUUAUUCUUGAUAAAUUUUUGUUAGAAUGAAAUUACAUUUUAUUCUUAGUCGUCUUUAAUACAAAGUAUCAUCCUAUUCAUUUUUUAUUUGUCAAGUUACUUUUUAAGAUCUUUUUCUUUAAUUUCAGUCUAAUAUAUAUUAUUAAUUUAUCACACUUAUUUAUUUUCAAGUAUAUUAUUAGAGUCAAAAUAAAGAUGAAAAUAAUUAAUUCAUGAUAACUUUUUAUAUAAAAAGUAGGCAUAUAUUAUAAGCAUAAUGAAUAGAAAAAAAUAUUAAGAAUUAAUUUAAAGUAAUAGUAAAGUAGAGUAAUUAUAAAAUAGAUAUCACAAUAACUCACAAAAGAAAAGAAAGUGAAGUGAUAACAAAAUAAGUUAAUGGUAAUAAUAAUAACUUAAAAUAUUUCUAGAACUAUUAUUUUUAUUUUUUUUUGUUAUCAUUCUUCAUAGAUUUUUGUUAGCAUGAAAUUAUAUUUUUGCUGUAACGACCUAUUUAGUCGUUUGGAGCAGCAGAGUUAAUUUCUGAAAAUCACUGUCUGGGUCGACGGAUCCCACGACAGACCGUCAUGGGCACGACGGACCGUCGAGGGUGUCUCGUGCCAAAACACUUAGAAUUUAGAAAUUUGGGUACUGAGAUCGACUCUCUGAACUUCACGACGAAAUGGCAGGACGGACCGUUGAGGGCUCGACGGACCGUCACAAAUCCUUCCGCAGAAUUAACUCUCUGAACCUUGUGACGGACGUGCAGGACGGACCGUCACAGGCUGCGUGACCCUGACUGGGUCGGAUUUCUGUUAAAUAUUUUAAGGGGCGUUUUGGACUAUUCCUACUUAUAAUUAUAAAGUUAGUGGUUUAAUGUUAAUAAUUUAAUUACUUGGGGGUUAAAAGAGAGAACCUUGAAACAAAUAGUGGGAUAUUUUAUCAUCUUUUAUACUUAAUUAUAUGCUAAUUAGGGUAAAAGAAAGAGGGUUUGAAUAAGAAAAAGAAAAAGAACAGAGAGAGAGGGAGAAACGAUCGAUUGAGAGAGAAGAAGAACGCAGCUUUGGGAAAGUAGAUUGCUUGAUCACAAUCCUUCGGUGGAGGUAGGUUAUGGUUUAUGCUAUUCGUAGUAAACUCUUAAUAGCGAAUGAUAUGUAUUGGGUAGUGUUGUAAACCCUUCUAUAUGCUUAAUUGUAUGCUUGCAUGAAUGUGAUUAUAUAAUUGUGAUAAAAUAAGCAUGAUGAAGCUAUUGAAUCCUAAAUCUUGAAAAUCCUAAUCUACUUUGUUAAUGAUGAUGCCUUGGUAUAAAAGAAGGCUUGAUGAACGAAAGUAGUAAGAUUAGGGGAUCGGAGUGUCACGUUCCGACACCAGGAUAGUAUAUGGAUCGGGUGCCACGUUCCGGUACCAGGAUAGUAUAUGAGGAUCGGAGUGUCACGUUCCGACACCAGGAUAGUAUAUGGAUCGGGUGCCACGUUCCGGUACCAGGAUAGUAUAUGAGGAUCGGAGUGCCACGUUCCGGUACAAGGAUAGUAUAUGAGGAUCGGAGUGUCACGUUCCGACACCAGGAUAGUAUAUGGAUCGGGUGCCACGUUCCGGUACCAGGAUAGUAUGAUGAGGAUCGGAGUGUCACGUUCGGACACCAGGAUAGUAUAUGGAUCGGGGUGUCACGUACCGACACGAGAGAAAUAAAGAUAAUGAAUCUUGAAAGAUGUUAAUAUACUCAAUUUAAUGAACCUAAUUCCCAAAUGAGUAUGAUGGGGAGGCGUGAGUCCUCAUUGAUGUGCUUGGUGUUGUGACCAAGAGUUAUGAUAAUUAUAAAUGCCGCAUGUUGAGUAUUGUAGUUGAUUUUAUGAUAUAUAUCAUAUUAUCUGAUAUAUACUAUUUUCUAUUUUGAGUUGGCCGAUGAUAUCUACUCAGUACUCGUGUUUUGUACUGACCCCUACUUGUAAUUGUUUUUCUUUGUUAUUUGUGGAGUGCAGCAAACGUACCGUCGUCUUCAACUCAACCGCAACUCUAGCCAGUCUUCAUUACACCGGAUUUCAGGGUGAGCUAACGCUUCUAGCUUGGACUGGAUCUUCUUCUUCAUGUCUUGAUGCCUUGAAGUUCCGGCAUGGACUAGCUUUUUAUUUAUUCUAGCUUUCUAGAUACUCUUAGAAUUAGUAAUUUAAGGAUAGAUGUUCUUGUGAUGAUGACUUCCAGAUUUUGGGAAUAAUAAGUAUUGAGUUUUUAGAAGUUAUUUAACCGAUUUUCAUUAAUGAGUUUAAGUCUUCCGCAUUAUAUUCUGUUUAUUAUGGUUCAAAUGUUGGGGUUUAGAUUGGUUGGUUCGCUCACAUAGGAGGGUAAGUGUGGGUGCCACUCGCGGCCCGCUUUGGGUCGUGACAUUUGCCCUUGAUUAUUAUUUACUUCAUAUAUAGAAAGAUGUUUCUAGUAUUAUCAAUUAUCUUGCUUAAUAGAUUUUUGUUAGCGUGAAAUUACAUUUUUGCCCUUAAUCGUCCUCCCACUUCACUCUUCUAUAUAAUUGAAUAGAAAUACAUUAUAUAAAAUAAAUAUUUAUAAAUGAUUAUAAGUUUUCUAUAUCCUUUUUAUAGUGAUUAAUUUACAAUAGGUAAAUGGAUAUGUAUGGGUAAUAAAAUAUAUAUGAGAAUAGUAAUUUAAUUGUGAUAUAUGGCAAAUUCAUCAAAUAGUCAGUCUCUAAUAAUUUAUAUAUUAGUAGUGAAGUAUAAUGUUAAAUUUUAAACGAGGAUUUACAUAACGUGAGAAAGACUUCUUUUCUUUUUUAUUUUCUCAAGAGAUUUUUACAUUUUAAAAUUAGUUUAUAACUUAACAUUAAAUUACUUUAUAUGUAUUUUACUUAUUCAAACUCUCACAUAAUUACUUGUACAUUUGUUUAUUUAUGGUCUUCAUAUAUAACCCCUAGUAUAGCCUUGCUAAACUAAAUUUUGAAAAUUAUUACUAGUAAGGUGUUUGUUUCCUCACCUCAUAUAUUUACAUCAUAUGCAUAAAAAUUAUGUAAAAUGAAUAACAUAUUUUUUUAUUUAUUUUUAAAGAGACUAGUUAUUUGGGGCCGCUAAAGCCUACUUCAAAAUUAGCAAAUCAAAAGAAAGGAAGUGUACCUAUCAACCAAGUAAAAAUGUCAACUACUUCUAAAAAGUUUGGACAAUUUUUAAGACUAUGAAAAUAUAGAGACAUAGUAAAAUAUUGCGUGAAUCACUUAAUAAAAUCGAAAACAUAAUAUAUUGGAGAUAGUUUUACUAAAAAUAAUUUUACAAUAAAAUUGAAAUGUGUACAUAUUUAUUGAAUUGUGGGUAUAGAGACAAUUUUUAAGCUUUUUUCUGAUUUACAUAUAUUAAAUCGCGAAAGAAGUCAUGUGUUCUUAAUAAAAUAAUCGCUAAUGGCAAUUAUAUUUGCUGCUAAAAUUCUUCCUCUAAAUAACUUAAUUUACACUUUUAGCGUUUAAGACGCAAUGUCCAUCUUAAACUAAUAAAUAUGAGAAAUAAAUAAACUCAAUUGGGGGAUAACAAUUUCUUAAUUAGUAUGUUAUAUAUACAUUAUUUCAAUUAUACUUUCGAGUUUUGAUAUUACGAAAAUAUAAUGUCAAACUUUAAAGACAAGAAUUUACAAAUGAGAACGACUUUUUUUUAAAAAUAUAAUGUCAAACUUUAAAGACAAGAAUUUACAAACCAUGAGAACGACUUUUUUUUAAUUAUACGUUUUAUUAUAUAUAUAUAUAUAUAUAUACAUACACACACACAUAUAUAUACAUAUAUCAUUGACUCUAUAUAUAUAAGAUAGGAAAGAGGUUAAAAUAUAUCAUUGAACUUUCAGAAAAAAACUCAUUUAUUCAUCAGUUAAAAGUUUGGCUCAUUUAUGCCAUUACCGUUUAAAAAAGAUUCAUUCUUGCCAUUAUUUUUUAAUAAUGGUUUCGCAAAACCAUUUUUAAUACGUGACCAAUUAUAAUUCGGCUACGUCCUCAAUUUAUUUAAUUAAAAAAUCAUCAUUCUAAAAAAAAUUGAAUUCAUUUUUUUUGAUUUUUUUAUUAAAUAAAUUGAUGACAUGGCUAAUUAGAAUUCAGUGGGAUUUCUUAAAUUUGGGCGGGUCUUUAUUUGAGUGGGGUUUUUAUUUAAUGUUUUCUCAGAAUUGAUUUUUUAUCAAAAAAAAAUAAAAAUGAUGUGGCCGAAUCAUAACUUGUCACGUGUGAAAAGUGGUUGGGCAAAAUCGCCGUUAAAAACUAAUGGCAUGAAUGAGUCUUUUCCUAAAUGGUAAUAACAUGAACGAGUCAAACUUUUAACGGAUGACAUAAAUGAGUCUUUUCUAAAAGUUCAACGGCAUAUUUGAGCUUUUUCACUUAUUAAAAAAGUGGCUUACAUACACUCAUAUUAUUACAUAAAUAUUCUAAAAUAUACCAUUUUGUUCUAACGGGAGUGAAAACAAAUAUUUUUUUAAACAUAAUUUUUUAUUUUUAAGAAGUAAAAUCUGAAUAUAUUAUCUUCCACUUUCCUAGAAAAUAUUAUCCUACAAGAUUUUUUAUUUUUAAAAAUUAAAAUUAAUAUUUUCACUUCCAUUAGAUGAUGAAGAUAUACCUGAAUCACUUUUAUAAUGGUAAGGAUAUGUAUGAACUCUUUUAAUUCAAAUGUGAAUUAUUUUAUAAUGAGCGAUAUAACAAUUUUAAAUUGCAAAGUUAUGAAGACCUUUUUAUUUAGGGAAAAGGGUCUGAUAUACCCCUCAACUUUGUCAUUUAGAGCUGAUAUGCCCCUUGUUGUGAAAGUGGCUCAUAUAUACCCUUACUUGUAAACAAAUGGCUCACAUAUACCCUUUUCCUCUAACGGAAAUGGAAAAAAAAAUAAUUUUAAUCUAAUUUUUUAAUAUUUUUUGUCUAAAAAUUAUAAUCCCAUAUGAGUAAAUUUAAUCCUCGUAAAACAUAUUUUUUUAACCUUUUUUAGUUUCAAUGACUAAUUUAUAAUUAUUAUUUUGAUAAUCAAAUUUAUUUAUGUUUCACUAAUAUUCUUGUAAAACUUAUUGUAGAUAACCAAAUUUUUUCUUCGAAUAUGAAAUUAAAUUACAAUACACACAAAAAAUAGUUUAAAUUUUUUCUCUUUAAACUAAGGAUUGAAAGAAAAAACAUAAGAAUAAGAAACUCAAAUAAUUAUAAUAAAAAAAGUCAAAAAAUAAUUUAUAUAUGAAAAAAAUCAAAAUAUACCUUGAACUUUGAUAGAAGAAUCAUAUAUAUCCCUAAAUAAUUUUUUAAAAAAAAUUACAAGUAAUAAAUAUCAAUUUAAAACUAAUUUUUUAACUUCCGUUAAAUGAAGGGUAUAUAUGAGCCAUUUUGUAACGGGAGGGGUAUAUGUGAGCCGUUUGUAUAACGGUAAGGGCAUAUAUGAGCCACUUUUAUAACGGGGGGUAUAUUAGCUCCAAAUAACAAAGUUGAGGGGUAUAUCAGACUCUUUUUCCUUUUAUUUAUUGUAUAAAAGCAUUUCAUAUACUAGUUACAUAUUUAAAUAUUGAAAAUGUUGAUAAGAGAUCCCAUUAAAUGCUAAAGUAUUGGUAUUUUAAAAAAAUUUCCUUUUAUUUAUUGUAUAUAUCUAACAUCUCGUAACUUCAAAUAACUAAGAAUAAACUAAGAAAUCAAGAAUAAUCAUUUUUGGAAAUAAAUAGGAAAUCUGAAAAAUUUCCCAAGUGUAAAAGUGAGUUUUUGGUCAAUUUCAAACGACCAUAACUCCCAGCUUAGGAGGAGUUAGUGUGAGUUCCUUAUAUGGUUGGAAAUCCCUUGGAAAGAAAUUUCCAACAACGCCAAGUUUGUACAUUUUAGAUGUCGUAUGAAGGAGAUAUGACUUUCGAAAGUUUGGUUGUUGGAGUGAGGAAAAUUCAAUCCGGAUUUAGUAAGGAUAAAGUAGUCUUUUCACCCUAGUAUUUUCUAAUUCGUUUUAAGGGUUUAUUAGGGGUAAAAUCAAGUCCAUAUUCAGUUUUGAAAAAGUUGAGAACGCUCAUGGCUUGGGAGAAAAGAGAAGAGAAGAGAAGAGAAAACCAAAAUUUCUUCAAGAACGCUAAGGUUUCGCUAGAGGAAUUCAUCGGGGGUGAUCUCUAUCGAGGUAUAUGAGAUCUUUCUAUGUUGGGUUCGUUCACCCACACACCAACAUGUUUAUUUAGCAAUUUUUGUAUUGAUUGAAUAAUGAAUCUUGAAGUUCUUGAUGAGCAAUUGUUGAAUCCUUAUUGGUAGAGUUGUAGUGUACCUUUAGUUGGUGUUGAUUCGUAUUUUCAGGCUGUUUUACGAGUCUAAACUAUUGGGUAUUGAGUAUAUUAGUGAUUGAUACGCUCAAACUUACUUUUUAAAUAAGAAGUAAAGCAGUAAAUGGGGGUUUCUAUUCCUAAAUAAAUGAAAAUAACUAGCGAAAUUAAAGGAGACAACUAACAACUUCGAAUGUUGGAGUUUAAUCACUUAAUCAAAGUAACUAGGGUUUACGUGUUCCCCACAGGUUCAUAACUUGAUAAUUCUAACUAUAACAAUUCUUUCCUAGUAUCUUGCAUGCAAAGUGAUAAGUUAUGUAUUUCUAAAUCCUUGGUCCGGCAUCUAGAAAAUUUCACUCGGCACCUUGGUCCGACUACGUGUGUUGCUAUACUAACCCUUAUAUUUACCUCAUAUUAAGCAUCGUAUUCGAUAUUUGACUAAGUUAUUACCCCGUACCAAUCAAUACUAGCCUAUUAGAUAGUAUACACUAAAUUUAUAUUGAUAAUUCUUUUCCUAUUAUCUACCUCCUUGGUCCGACAAGUAGCAUUAAGGCGAGUUCUAACGUUGGCCAUCCGUUAAAAAGACUUCCAAGCGAAAGAAUUAUCAAUACAUGCAAGACACUAUUCUAGAAUUGUUAUUUUAGUUAGAUUUUACCUCAUUAUUCGCCUAUGGUUCCCACAACCCUAAUUAUGGAGUUUAGUUACCCAUAAUCAUAAUCACAAUAUUCAAAUAUAUGAUAUAAGAAUUCAUGCACUUACUUCAAUGAGAAAGAGUAAAAUCCAAAAGUUAGCUUGAUUAAUCAACAAUCAAUUACAAGAAUAUCAAAAUAAUCAAGAAUCUCACAAAAAGUCUAAAAAAUAAUCAAGAGUCUAACAAUAAUCAAGGGCCUAACCAAAUAAUCCAGAGUCUAACCUCAAAAACGAGGUUUUUCAAACUAUUUAUAAAAAAUAAAAACCUAAUUACAUAAGGACUCUAUUUGCUGGAAAUCUGUCAAAACGCGGCUGGGUCAACGGACCUCGCGACGCAUCGUCGUGGUCACGACGGACCGUCAUGGACUCCGUCGUCCCAUACUUGAUGCAAUUUCUUAUGCUGCUCUCUUCAUUACUCUCGACAGCAGGUAUGAUGGAUCGUUACAGGCACAACGAUCCGUCGAGGGUCUCCGUUCCAAAACACUUGAACUCUUGGAAUAUGGGUACUGGGACUACUUCUCUGAACUUCAUGACGAACCUGCAGGACGGACCGUCAUGGAUACGACGGUCCGUCACGCAUUUUGUAACCCCACACUUGGUCAGACUUCCCCAUUUUCCUUCAGCAGCUGCACUACGUUGCCACCUACGGACCGUCACGAGCAUGACGGACCGUCACAAGCAUGACGGACCGUCACAAGCAUGACGGACCGUCACAAGCUCCGUAGGUGGUCUCUUCUGCAUUUCUUUGCUCAAAAACCUCCGCAUUCAUCUUUGGAUAGAUUUCCUGCAAAUAAGGAGAAACUUAUAUAAAAAUUAGCACAAAAAGAUUUUGGACACACUAACUUAAGGAAAAAAUAUUAAUAAUACCGUGACACCAUAGUAUAUCAGUGAUCCUAAGUGUUUGGGAAAAAUCCAUGAAUGUUUUGAAGGUUUAGAGUUGAAAAUCGGAGAAGAAAAGUCAGAAAACUCGUCUGACAGGUCUUGUGGCACCGUGCCUACAAGAGCCCCUCAGGACAGACUCUUUCUGUCAGGCUCUGGCGCGCCGCCGUGCCAGCUAGAGCGCCUGAAGACAGUGUCUGUCGGUCAGGCGCUGGUGCCCCGCGCCUCUCAGAGCGCCAGGGUCACCUGGAGAUUCUAUUUCUCUCCCAUCUUUUAGUACGAGUUCCUAAGUGACGUAUCUAUUAUUUCUAGUUAGUUCCAAUACUCUAAAGUAAAUAUAAACAUUAUGAAAUCAUCCAUAAUAAUGAGAUCAGGAUCCGUGAAUGCAUAAUCCAAUUCAAGGGAAGUUAAGAUCAAAGUCAAAAAAAGUUAAGAGUCAAGUCUAAAAGUUAAAAAACAAGUCAAAGUAAGUUCCUAAAGCAUUCAAGAGUCUUAAACAAACAUUUUAACUUUGUUUUAAGGUUCAAGCAAUGAGUUGAGCAAAGAGUAAAAGAGUUGAGUUAAAUUUUCAAAAGCUAUAAGGGAACUAAGUAUUCCCUAAGAGUUAAGUUUCAAGUUAAGCAAAUAGUAACAAGUUGAGUUCACUUCUCAAGAGUUAGAAGGGAACUAAGUAGUCUCUAACAGUUUAAACAAGAUGUUUUUAAACUUUUGAGAAAGAAAGGAAGCUAGACUUCCACAGAGCCUAUGACUAGUUUUAGUAAAAGAAAAAGGAAACUAUGAUUUCUAAGAAAGUUUUUGAAGCAAAGUUUGAGAAAUUAUCUCAAACUAGAGAAGAAGUUGUUUUAAAAAAACAUAUGAGCUAAGUAUUUUGGGAGUAGUAUUGAGCACCGAUAUGGUGACGCGAGUUCAUAUUAACUCAAGUCUCCAUAAACCAUUGAGCCAACAUGGAGAUAUAAAAGAUCAUACUUUUUAGAUGAUUCCUUAGUAAUUUUAGCAUAGACUAGUGAAUCCUCUUAGUAGUUCAGGUUCUAUAUCGACGACAAGGUAUAGAGUGGUCCUCUUGCAACAUGAGGUAAUACGUUGUACCAUCACUUAGGCUCAUAGAUGGUUGUCGGUUAGAUAAUCUCUCAAAGAAAUUAUAAUACUUUCAAAUAUAUGAGUAAAGUUGAGUUUAUUAUUGAUUUAUCUUUAAUGAACUAAGUGUUUACACUGUUUUACAAGCUUUUCUUAUAUCGCAUGUGUCCUUACUGCUUUAUAUUGAGUCGUUAUUUCAUGAGUUGAGCAGAACCAAGGUAAGUUCUUCCUUACUCCUUUCAAGCCUUAUAGUAGUGUUUAGUAUUCCAAUUCGCAUACUCGUUUGGCCUGCAUGCAUCGCCUUAUAAUGCAGAAGCAGGUAAUUAGGAUCAACAUGCAGCACUUUGUUGAACCAGUUUGAGCUCUAGAGUCAGUGGUGAGCCUCCAUGCAUUUCGGAGGAUCCUUUUAUUGCUAUCUAGUUAGUUCAAUAGAAUGUUGUGGGGUUUGUCCCAACAUUCAUCUCAGUCAGUUUAGAGGUUUCAUAGACGGAUAGUAGUAGUUAAGUUGUGUCUCUUUAUUUCAGAUUCUAUAUUUGAGACUUAAGUGCAAAUUUGGCCAAGACAGUAUUUAAAGUCAUUUUUAUGAGAACUUCUUCAAUUCUAUAACUGAAUUAAGUUGAGUCUUCCGCUGAGUUAAGUAAGUCAGACCAAGAGUUCCCUUGAGGCCAGCAAUGGUCACCAAGUGCUAGUCCCACCCAGGGUAUAAGCUCGGAGCAUGCUAAUAUAUGCAUUUCAUAUACGACUUACGUAUUCAGAUACUUUUAACAUUUUGUUAGAGCAGAAGAGUCUUAACUUAUAUAUGUAGGUGAAGUAUUGAUAUAUUGGGAUAUUGGUACUUAUUAUUAUUUUACUUUAAUACUUAUUUAUAAGUCUACAACACACGGUAAGCACACACAAGGUGCUCAACAUGUGUGCUUGAAGUAAAUUUAAUUUUGAAUGAGGUUAAUUUGGUCAUUUUAUAUAAUACUCAAUGUUUCUUUUACUUGUACAAAAUGCAAAAUUGCUUUUAUGGACAUCAAAUGACCAAAAACCCAGUAUCCUUUAACUCAUUGUCAUAUGUUAUAGAACAUUGCAAUUGGUUGAAAAUGAACUUUAAUGUAGUUGCAAUAUAAUUAUUUUUACUUCUUGUCAAAACUGCCCCUAUGCGGCUUAAGCUUAUUUUAUCAACUAUUUGUUAUUACGUGGAGAAAUUAAAGACAUCUUUAGAUGAGUCCUUUUAAGCGGUACCGACCUAGAUAUAUAUAUUCUUUUCGUUUUAUUUAUGUCAUUUUUACUAAAAAUAGGUAAUAUUUAAUAUUUAUCAUUUCACAAAAGUAAUGCAUUAUAUAGUAAUGAAAUCGACUCUCUGAACUCUGUGACGGACCGUCACAGGUACGACGAACCGUCGUGAGCCCCCGUUUCAAAACACUUCAACUCUUGAGAAUUUGGUACAGGGAACGAUUCUCUGAACGUCAUGACGGAGGUGCAGGACGGACCGUCGUAGGUACGAUGGGCUGUCACAGACUCCUUAAGGAAAUCGAGUCUUUGACGAACCUGCAUGACGGACCGUCGCAGGCACGACGGGCCGUCGCAGGUUGCGCAAUCCCAGUCUGGGUCAGAUUUCUUUACACAUUUUAAGGGACGUUUUUGACUAUUCCUUCUUUAAUUAUAAAGUUAGUGGGUUAAUGUUAAUAAGUCUAAUUACUUGGGGGUUAAAAGAGGUAACCUCAAGUUAAUUAGUGGGUUAUUAUUGCCAUCUUUCAUUCUUAAUUAUAUACUAAUUAGGGUAAAAGAAAGAGGGUUUGAAUAAAGAAAAUAGAAAGAACACAAAGAGAGAGAGGGAGAAUCGAACGAGAAGGUGAAAAGAAGAGGAGAAACACAAAGCUUUGGGAAAUUGCUUGCUUGAUUUCUUGUCUUCGGUGGAGGUAGGUUUUGGUUUUCAUGCUAUUCGUAGUAAACUCUUAAUAGCGAAUGAUAUGUGUUAGUAGUAUUGUAAACCCUUCUAUAUGCUUAAUUGUAUGCUUGCAUGAAUGAUGUGAUUAUGGAAUUAUGAAUAAAUAAGCAUGAUGAAGUUAUUGAAUCCCAAAUCUUGAAAAGAAACCUUAAUCUACUUUGUUAAUGAUGAUGCCUUGGUAUAAAAGAAGGCUUGAUGAACGAAAGGGGUGAGAUUAGGGGAUCGAGUGCCACAUUCUGGUACCAGUAUAGAGAUAGAGGAUCGGGUGCCACGUUCCGGUACCAGGAUAGAAUGAGGAUCGAAGUGUCACGUUCCGACACCAGGAUAGUAUAUGGAUCGGGUGCCACGUUCCGGUACCAGGAUAGAAUGAGGAUCGGAGUGUCACGUUCCGACACCAGGAUAGUAUAUGGAUCGGGUGCCACGUUCCGGUACCAGGAUAGAAUGAGGAUCGGAGUGUCACGUUCCGACACCAGGAUAGUAUAUGGAUCGGAGUGUCACGUACCGACACGAGGGGAAUAAAUAUAAUGAAUCUUGUAAGAUGCUAAUAUACUCAAUUUAAUGAAACUAAUUCCCAAAUGAGUAUGAUAUUGAGGCUUGAGUCCUCACGUGUGAACUUGACGGUAUUUGUUAAUGAUAUAGUACUUGUUGUUGCUACAUGUUGAGUAUCAUAGUUGAUUUUAUGAUAUUGCUUAAUAUAUAUUGUUUUCUAAUUUCGAGUUGACCGAUGAUAUCUACUCAGUACCCGUGUUUUGUACUGACCCCUACUUUUGUGUUUUCUUCUUUGUUAUUUGUGGAGUGCAGCAAACAUGCCGUCGUCUUCGACUCAACAGUAUUCAAGCCAGUCUUUACUACACCGGAAAUUCAGGGUGAGCUAAUGCUUCUAGCUUGGACUGGAUCUUCUUCUUCAAGUCUUGAUGCCUUGAACUUCCGGCAUGGACUAGCUUCUUAUGUAUUUUUAGCUUCUUAGACAUUUUUAGUUAGUAAUUUGAUCAUAGAUGUUCUUGUGAUGAUGACUUCCAGAUUUUGGGGAAUAAUAGUUAUUGAAUUGGUUUUUAUUUAAUGAGCUUAAGUCUUCCGCAUUAUUUUCUAUUGAUAUACGUUGAAAUGAUAAGGUUUAGAUUGGUUGGUUCGCUCACAUAGGAGGGUAAAUGUGGGUGCCAGUCGCGGCUCGGUUUUGGGUCGUGACAAACCUUGUAUCAGAGCAUUAGGUUCGUUGGUCUCAUCACACAAGAACGAGUCUAGUAGAGUCUUAAGGAACGGUAGGGGGGCGCCUUUACUUUUCUUUGAGGGGCUAUAAGACUUUAGGAAAUUCCAUUCUUUCUUAUCUCUUUCGUGAUACUACUUGAAUCCAAUUGGUAUCUAGGUGAUUCAAAUUGGUAUCUGACCAUCUUCACUCUAUUUCGCAGAUGGUUAGAACUAGAUCAACGACUGCGCCAACACCAACACCGGCAAGACAAGAAACGUCUGAGCCAGCCACUGGGGCUGUGGCUCAAGGAAGAGCAAUAGCAAGAGGUCGUGGUAGAGUUCGUGGGAGGACGUCCUCUAGAGGGAGAGGACGAGUACCUAGCCCAUCUGAUGCUAGGGCGGUGACUCCUCCACCGACUGAGGAAGUAGUAAGAGAGGGUGAGGAAGGGGAGAAUGAACAAGUGCAAAAUGAUGAAUUGCCACCCCAACCUACCCCAGAGAUGAUCAAUCAGGUUCUCGCUUAUCUUAGUGGGUUAUCUGAUUAGGGCCAGACACCUCCAGUGUUUUCUGCACCAGUACCUCAGGUUCCGGAGGUACAACAUGCGGCUACUAUGGCUCCUCGUAUGGAUGCCUCAUUGGACAUAGGCACGUUUCCACGUCUGACUACUGGGCCUAUAAUGACAAAUGAUCAGCAUGAACUUUUCAGUAAGUUCUUGAAAUUGAAACCCCCAGUCUUCAAGGGUGCUGAAUCUGAGAAUGCUUACGAUUUUCUGGUUGACUGUCAUGAGCUACUACACAAGAUGGGUAUAGUAGAACGGUUUGGUGUUGAGUUCGUGAGUUAUCAGUUUCAAGGGAACGCCAAAAUGUGGUGGCGGUCACAUGUUGAGUGUCAACCAACAGAGGCACCACCUAUGACUUGGGCCUCAUUCUCUAGCUUGUUUAUGGAGAAGUGUGUCAACCAACAGAGGCACCACCUAUGACUUGGGCCUCAUUCUCUAGCUUGUUUAUGGAGAAGUAUAUCCCCCAGACUUUGAGGGAUAGGAAAAGGGAUGAGUUCUUGAGCCUAGAUCAAGGUAGGAUGUCGGUUAAUGCAUAUGAGGCUAGGUUUCGCGCACUAUCCAGGUAUGCCACUCAACUUUGUUUCAGUCUACAAGAGCGGAUUCGCCGGUUUGUGAAGGGGUUGAGGUCAGAGUUGCGGAUUUCGGCCUUACAGGUAGCGGCUACGGCAAAAUCCUUCCUAGAAGUGGUAGACUUCGUGAUAGAGGUGGAAGGAGUGAAGCCCAAUGACUUCACCUCGACAUCGACAUCAAAAAGGUUUCGAAAGGGAGGUGAGUUUAAUGGUUCUUACCCUAGGGGAUAGGGUUUCGGAGGUUACUCAGUCCGACCGAUUCAGUCUUCACUACAGACUGUAGUUGGGGGUCCACCUCAGACCGGUCAAAACUUCCUUGAGAGACCUAUGCAUGAACCAAGAAAGUGCUAUGGAUGUGGGGAGAUUGGAAAUAUUAAGAGAUAUUGUCCAAAACAGAGUUACCGACCCCCAAUAGCUAGAGGUAGAGGUGGUUAUGGAAGAAGUCGUCAUUCUGGAGGACGCGGUGGUCGAGGUAAUGGUGGUCACCAAAACGGCCGGGGUGAUGGGCAAACUGGAGCCACUACAUCACAACAUGGUAGGGGCAAUAGACAGACAAGUAAUGGGGCUCAUUGCUACGCUUUUCCUGGGAGAUCUGAAACGGAGACAUCAGAUGCUGUCAUCACAGGUAAUCUUUUAAUUUGUGAUUGCAUGGCUUCUAUAUUGUUUGAUCCUGGAUCCACAUUUUCUUAUGUAUCUUCCUCAUUUGCUAAUGGUCUAAAUUUACGUUGUGAAUUACUUGACAUGCCUAUUCAUGUUUCUACUCCGGUGGGUGAGUCUGUGGUAGUUGAAAAGGUAUAUAGGUCUUGUUUGGUGAACUUUGUGGGGAGCAACAGUUAUGUAGAUUUGGUUAUCUUAGAAAUGGUUGAUUUUGAUGUAAUUCUGGGUAUGACUUGGCUUUCUCCGCAAUUUGCGAUCUUGAUUGUAAUGCUAAAACGGUGACGUUAGCCAAGCCUGGGACAGAUCCGUUAGUGUGGGAGGGUGACUACACUUCCAAUCCGGUGUGUAUCAUCUCCUUUCUUCGUGCUAAGAAAAUAGUUAGUAAAGGGUGUUUGGCUUUCUUGGCACAUCUCAAGGAUGACACUACCCAAGUACCCUCGAUUGAGUCAGUUUCGGUAGUCCGUGAGUUUUUGGAUGUGUUCCCUGCAGAUCUUCCUGGUAUGCCACCGGAUAGGGAUAUUGACUUCUGUAUUGAUCUUGAACCGGGUACUCGCCCCAUUUCUAUACCCCCUUAUAGAAUGGCUCCCGCCGAAUUGAGAGAGUUAAAGGCCCAACUUCAAGAGUUGUUGAGCAAAGGUUUCAUUAGACCAAGUGCAUCUCCUUGGGGUGCUCCGGUUUUGUUUGUAAAGACGAAGGAUGGGAGUUUUCGGAUAUGCAUAGACUACCGGCAGUUGAACAAGGUAACCAUAAAGAACAAGUAUCCUCUUCCUCGCAUUGAUGACUUGUUCGAUCAGUUACAAGGUGCUCGUGUCUUCUCUAAGAUUGACUUGAGAUCCGGUUAUCAUCAAUUGAAAAUACGGGCAACGGAUGUGCCAAAGACUGCUUUUAGAAUCAGGUAUGGGCAUUACUAAUUUGUAGUGAUGUCUUUUGGUCUUACGAAUGCCCCUACUGCGUUCAUGAGUUUGAUGAACGGGAUUUUUAAGCAAUAUUUGGAUCUCUUUGUGAUCGUAUUUAUUGAUGAUAUACUGAUAUACUCAAAGAGCAAGAAGGAACAUGAAGAGCAUUUGAGAAUGGUAUUGGAAAUGUUGAGGGAGAAAAAUCUUUAUGCCAAGUUCUCUAAGUGUGAGUUUUGGCUAGAUGCAGUGUCCUUCUUGGGGCAUUUAGUUUCUAAGGAGGGAGUGAUAGUGGAUCCUUCCAAGAUUGAGACAGUGAAGAAUUGGGUAAGACCUACUAAUGUGUCAGAAAUAAGGAGCUUUGUUGGGUUAGCUAGCUACUACCACCGAUUCGUCAAGGGAUUCUCUUCUAUUGCUUCCCAACUGACGAACUGCAAAAUGUUCCAUUUGUAUGGUCGGAUGAGUGUGAGGAAAGCUUUCAGAAGCUCAAGACUCUGUUGACUACUGCACUAAUUCUCACCUUGCCAGUGGAAGGUAGGAAUUUUAUUGUCUAUUGUGAUGCAUCCUAUUCGGGUUUGGGUGCAGUGCUAAUGCAAGAGAAGAAUGUGAUUGCUUAUGCUUCGAGGCAAUUAAAAGUGCAUGAACAUAACUAUCCAACUCAUGAUUUGGAAUUGGCUGCGGUAGUGUUUGCAUUAAAGCAAUGGAGACACUAUUUAUAUGGGGUUAAGUGUGAGGUCUACACGGAUCAUCGUAGCCUUCAGUAUGUCUUUACUCAGAAAGAUUUGAACUUGAGACAGAGGAGAUGGAUGGAGCUACUAAAGGACUAUGAUAUCACUAUCUUGUAUCAUCCGGGGAAGGCGAAUGUUGUAGCGGAUGCUUUAAGUAGAAAGGCGGGAAGCAUGGGAAGUCUAGCCCACUUGCAAGCUUCUAGACGCCCAUUGGCUAGAGAAGUUCAGAUUCUGGCUAACGACCUUAUGAGAUUAGAAGUAAAUGAGAAGGGAGGAUUUUUUGCUUGUGUGGAGGCAAGAUCUUCCUUCCUUGACAAGAUUAAGGGAAAACAGUUUGAUGAUGAGAAACUAAGCAGAAUCCAAGAUAAGGUGUUGCGAGGAGAGGCUAAGGAAGCACAAAUCGAUGAGGAAGGUGUUUUGAGUAUUAAGGGAAGGGUAUGUGUACCCCGCGUCGAUGAUUUGAUCAACACUAUUCUGACAGAGGCUCAUAGUUCAAGGUAUUCGAUACAUCCGGGUGCAACAAAGAUGUACUGUGACCUAAAGCAACACUUUUGGUGGAGUAGAAUGAAGCGUGAUAUUGUGGAUUUUAUUGUCAAAUGUCCAAACUGUCAACAAGUAAAGUAUGAACACCAAAGGCCCGGAGGAACACUUCAGAGAAUGUCCAUUCCUGAAUGGAAGUGGGAAAGGAUUGCAAUGGAUUUCGUGGUUGGUCUUCCAAGGACAUUGGGAAAGUUUGAUUCUAUUUGGGUAAUUGUUGAUAGGUUAACUAAGUAUGCUCAUUUCAUUCCAGUUAAGGUGACUUACAAUGCCGAGAGGUUAGCCAAGAUCUAUAUCUCAGAAAUCGUUCGAUUGCAUGGGGUUCCACUAUCCAUCAUAUCAGAUAGAGGUACGCAAUUUACUUCUAAGUUUUGGAAAACAUUGCAUGCGGAAUUGGGUACUAGGUUGGACCUUAGUACUGCGUUCCAUCCUCAGACCGAUGGUCAGUCUGAGCGAACGAUUCAAGUGUUGGAGGAUAUGCUUCGUGCAUGUGUGAUAGAAUUUGGUGGUCAGUGGGAUAGCUUCUUACCCUUAGCAGAGGUCUCCUACAACAAUAGCUAUCACUCAAGUAUUGAUAUGGCUCCAUUUGAAGCAUUGUAUGGUAGGAGGUGUAGGUCCCCCAUUGGUUGGUUUGAUGCAUUUGAAGUUAGACCUUGGGGUACUGACCUUUUGAGGGAUUCAUUAGAGAAAAUGAAAUCUAUUCAAGAAAAGCUUCUAGCGGCGCAAAGUGGUGAUGCGGUUUGGUAAGCAAGGUAAACUUAGCCCAAGGUAUAUUGGCCCAUUUGAAGUACUCAAGCGAAUAGGGGAGGUGGCUUAUGAGUUAGCCUUGCCUCCAAGGCUGUCCGGAGUACAUCCGGUAUUCCAUGUGUCGAUGUUGAAAAGAUACCCUGGGGAUGGAAACUACAUUAUCCGUUGGGAUUCAGUUUUGCUUGAUGAAAAUUUGACUUAUGAGGAGGAGCCUGUUGCCAUUUUAGAUAGAGAAAUUCGCAAGUGGAGAUCAAGGGAGAUUGUAUCCAUCAAAGUUCAAUAGAAGAAUCGACCAGUCGAAGAAGCCACUUGGGAGAAAGAGGCUGAUAUGCGAGAAAGAUACCCACACCUUUUACAGAUUCAGGUACUCCUUUUCGCCCUUGUUUUCCUUCUUGUGAUCGUUCGGGGACGAACGAUGGGUAAAUUGGUAUCUAUUGUAACGACCUGUUUAGUCAUUUUGAGCAGCAGACUUCAAUUCUGGAAAAACUGGCAAAAACGACUGACCCCACGACGGACCGUCAUGGGCACGACGGACCGUCGAGGGGGUCUCGUUCCAUAACACUUAGAAAAUAGAAAAUUGGGUACUGAAAUCGACUCUCUGAACUCUGUGACGGACCUGUAGGACGAACCGUCACAGGUACGACGAACCGUCGUGAGCCCCCGUUUCAAAACACUUCAACUCUUGAGAAUUUGGUACAGGGAACGAUUCUCUGAACGUCGUGACGGAGGUGCAGGACGGACCGUCGUAGGUACGAUGGGCCGUCACAGACUCUUUAAGGAAAUCGAGUAUCUGACGAACCUGCAUGACGGACCGUCGCAGGCACGACGGGCCAUCGCAGGUUGCGCAAUCCCAGUCUGGGUCGGAUUUCUUUACACGUUUUAAGGGACGUUUUUGACUAUUCCUGCUUUAAUUAUAAAGUUAGUGGGUUAAUGUUAAUAAGUCUAAUUACUUGGGGGUUAAAAGAGGUAACCUCAAGUUAAUUAAUGGGUUAUUAUUGCCAUCUUUCAUUCUUAAUUAUAUACUAAUUAGGGUAAAAGAAAGAGGGUUUGAAUAAAGAAAAUAGAAAGAACACAAAGAGAGAGAGGGAGAAUCGAACGAGAAGGUGAAAAGAAGAGGAGAAACACAAAGCUUUGGGAAAUUGCUUGCUUGAUUUCUAGUCUUCGGUGGAGGUAGCUUAUGGUUUCAUGCUAUUCGUAGUAAACUCUUAAUAGCGAAUGAUAUGUGUUAGUAGUAUUGUAAACCCUUCUAUAUGCUUAAUUGUAUGCUUGCAUGAAUGAUGUGAUUAUGUAAUUAUGAAUAAAUAAGCAUGAUGAAGUUAUUGAAUCCCAAAUCUUGAAAAGAAACCCUAAUCUACUUUGUUAAUGAUGAUGCCUUGGUAUAAAAGAAGGCUUGAUGAACGAAAGGGGUGAGAUUAGGGGAUCGGGUGCCACGUUUCGGUACCAGGAUAGAGAUAGAGGAUCGGGUGCCACGUUCCGGUACCAGGAUAGAAUGAGUAUCGGAGUGUCACGUUCCGACACCAGGAUAGUAUAUGGAUCGGGUGCCACGUUCCGGUACCAGGAUAGAAUGAGGAUCGGAGUGUCACGUUCCGACACCGGGAUAGUAUAUGGAUCGGGUGCCACGUUCCGGUACCAGGAUAGAAUGAGGAUCGGAGUGUCACGUUCCGACACCAGGAUAGUAUAUGGAUCGGAGUGUCACGUACCGACACGAGGGGAAUAAAUAUAAUGAAUCUUGUAAGAUGCUAAUAUACUCAAUUUAAUGAAACUAAUUCCCAAAUGAGUAUGGUAUUGAGGCUUGAGUCCUCACGUGUGAACUUGACGGUAUUUGUUAAUGAUAUAGUACUUGUUGUUGUUACAUGUUGAGUAUCAUAGUUGAUUUUAUGAUAUUGCUUAAUAUAUAUUGUUUUCUAUUUCGAGUUGGCCGAUGAUAUCUACUCAGUACCCGUGUUUUGUACUGACCCCUACUUUUAUGUUUUCUUCUUUGUUAUUUGUGGAGUGCAGCAAACGUGCCGUCGUCUUCGACUCAACAGUAAUUCAAGCCAGUCUUUACUACACCGGAAAUUCAGGGUGAGCUAAUGCUUCUAGCUUGGACUGGAUCUUCUUCUUCAAGUCUUGAUGCCUUGAACUUCCGGCAUGGACUAGCUUCUUAUGUAUUUUUAGCUUCUUAGACAUUUUUAGUUAGUAAUUUGAUCAUAGAUGUUCUUGUGAUGAUGACUUCCAGAUUUUGGGGAAUAAUAGUUAUUGAAUUGGUUUUUAUUUAAUGAGCUUAAGUCUUCCGCAUUAUUUUCUGUUGAUAUACGUUGAAAUGAUAAGGUUUAGAUUGGUUGAUUCACUUACAUAGGAGAGUAAAUGUGGGUGCCAGUCGCGGCUCGGUUUUGGGUCGUGACAGCAUAGAAAGCUAAGUAACUAAUUCAUACUUAUUGGUCAAAUUAAAUAGUCAAAAUAAAUAAAUUCAUGUUUAUUGAUUGAAAACUUGACUUCAAAAAAACAGUAAGAAUAGAAUAAAAUUUGCUUAAUUUCGUAAUACACAUAAAAUCUAAAAUAGUGACAUAUAAAUAUGAUCGGAGAGAGUAUAAGUUAAUUCUCUAUUUGUAUCAUACAAAUAGAGAAUCAAGAUUUUAUUAAUGAUUUUUCUUUUAUUUUUUGAUGUAAAGCGCAGUCAAGGCAGCGAUUUCACUUUAAUUUUUUUUAAUUUUCUUACAUAAAUCGCUGGCAAUUUCUCCAAUCUUUUUGUAAAUUUUUUUUAAUUGUGUCGUAAAGCGCUGCAAUUGCAGCGAUAUUUUUUUGCUAAAAAAAUCAAUAUUGUAAAUCGUCUAUGCAUGACUUUAUUGAUUUUUCUUUUUUUUUUGAACAAAUUUUUAGUGGAUUUUUUUAUAAAAUUGAAACUUCUUUUUUAACGUAAGAAAAUUAAAAAAAAUUAAACUGUAAUCGCUGCCUUGGCAGGGAUUUGUUGUAAAAAAAAUUUAUUUUAAAAAAGUGAAUUGUACAAAUUGGUGCUAUAGCAGCGAUUUUCCUUAGCGUCGGCAAACAAAAUCACUACAUCCUAAGCGAUUUUAUCGUUUUGGUUAUAAAAAAAUUCAUAUACCUGUAACGACCUGUUUAGUCGUUUUGAGCAGCAGAUUUUAUUCUGGAAAAACAGGCUGAGGCGACGGACCCAACGACGGACCAUCAUGGGCACGACGGACCGUCGCAGGGUCUCGUUUGAAAACACUUAGAAAAACUGAAAAUUGGAUACUGAAAAUCGACUCUUUGAACUUCGUAACGAAAUGGCAGGACGGACCGUCACAGGUAUGACGGACCGUCACAGACCAUUGGUGGAAAUUUGGGUCUCUGAACUUUGCGACGACCUGCAGGACGGACCGUCGCAGGCACGACGGCCCGUCACAGGUUGCGCAAUCCCAGUCCGGGUCGGAUUUCUUGAUACGUUUUAAGGGACGUUUUUGACUAUUCUUGCCUUAAUUAUAAAGUUAGUGGGUUAAUGUUAAUAAGUCUAAUUACUUGGGGGUUAAAAGAGGUAACCUUAAGUUAAUUAGUGGGGCAUUAUUGCCAUCUUUUAUUCUUAAUUAUAUGUUAAUUAGGGUAAAAGGAAGAGGGUUUUGAAUAAAGAAAAUAGAAAGAACAAGAGAAAGAGAGACAGAGAGUCGAACGAGAAAGAAGAGAAACAAAGCUUGGAGAAAAAUUUGCUUGCUUGAUCACUAAUCUUCGGUGGAGGUAGGUUAUGGUUUCUCUUACGAUAUUCGUAGUAAACUCUUAAUAGAGAAUGAUAUGUAUUGAUAAUAUUGUAAACCCUGCUAUGUGCUUAAUUGUAUGCUUGCAUGAAUGUAAUUAUAUAAUUGUGAUUAUAUAAGCAUGAUGAAGUUAUUGAAUCCCAAAUCUUGCAAAAUCCUAAUCUCUUUGUUAAUAAUGAGGCCUUGGUAUAAAAGAAGGCGUGAUGAACUAAAAUAAUGGGAUUGAUGAUGCCUUGGUAAGAAAGAAGGCUUGAUGAAUUGAUGGAAGGAGAUUAGGGGAUCGGGUGUCACGAACCGACACGUAGAAUUAGGGGAUCGGGUGUCACGAACCGACACGUAGUAUUAGGGGAUCGGAUGUCACGAACCGACACGUAGUAUUAUGAGAUCGGGUGUCACGAACCGACACGUAGUAUUAGGGGAUCGGGUGUCACGAACCGACACGUAGUAUUAGGGGAUCGGGUGUCACGAACCGACACGUAGAUUUAGGGGAUCGGGUGUCACGAACUGACACAUAGAUUUAGGGGAUCGGGUGUCACGAACCGACACAUAGAUUUAGGGGAUCGGAGUGUCACGUACCGACACAAGAGGAUUAAUGAAUAUUGAGGGAGCGGAGUGUCACGUACCGACACAAGAGAAAUAAAGAUAAUGAAUCUUGAAAGAUAUUAAUAUACUCAAUCUAAUGAACAUGAUUCCCAAAUGAGUAUGGUAUUGAGGCUUGAGUCCUCAUGUGUGAACUUGACGGUAAUUGUUAAUGAUAUAGUAUUUGUUGUUGCUACAUGUUGAGUAUCAUAGUUGAUUUUAUGAUAUUACUUGGUAUAUAUUGAUUUCUAUUUUGAGUUGGCCGAUGAUAUCUACUCAGUACCCGUGUUUUGUACUGACCCCUACUUUUAUAUUUUCUUCUUGUUUAUUUGUGGAGUGCAGCAAACGUGCCAUCGUCUUCAACUCAACAGUAAUUCAAGCCAGUCUUACUACAUCGGAAAUUCAGGGUGAGCUAAUGCUUCUAGCUUGGACUGGAUCUUCUUCUUCAAGUCUUGAUGCCUUGAACUUCCGGCAUGGACUAGCUUCUUAUGUAUUUUUAGCUUUUAGAACACUCUUAGUUUAGUCAUUUGAUCGUAGAUGUUCUUGUGAUGAUGACUUCCAGAUUUUGGGGAAUAAUAGAUGUUGAAUUUUAGAAGUUAAUGAAUUGGUCUUUAUUUAAUGAGUUUAAGUCUUCCGCAUUACUUUCUGUUGAUAUUAUAUUGAAAUGUUAAGGUCAGAUUGGUUGGUUCACUCACAUAGAAGGGUAAGUGUGGGUGCCAGUCGCAACCCGGUUUGGGUCGUGACAAUACCUUUUUGAAAUUUUUGUUAAUAUUUUUCACCCUUUAGCCUCUGUACUUGCAUGAAUUACAAUAUUCUUCCUAUUUUACUCUUGUGAAUAAUUAGCUUUGAAAGUAUAUGUUUGAUCAACCUAGAAAAACUAAGUGAAUAGUUUAUGUUCAUUAAUUCAAUUAAUUAAUAAAAAUAAAUUAAUUAAUAUUUUCUUGACAAAUUCCUAUUUGAUUUUUUAAUUUAAUUCAAAAUUUUCAAGUUCCAUGUUUCACUCUUUUCUUGACGAGUUUUGUAAUAAACUAUGUACAAGAAAAGCUGUAGCUAUAAAGAAAUCAACGUAGUACAAAAUUGAAAAUUGUAUUUCAUUAAGUAAAAAAAUAGAAGGGCUUAACAACAAAACAAACUAAUUAAAUUUUAACUUAAACCCCCUGAAAUAAUAAUAAUAAUAAUAAUAAUAAUAAUAAAACAAUACUACAACAAGAAUCAUCAACCACAUACAUAAUAAGAGAGAAUAGACAAACAAAAAUUUGGAUACAACGAUGAAAUAACUAUAGAUAAUACAAAUUUGGAUAUUCAUUAAACUAUAUAUAGUGAAUAUCCUGAUACUAUAUUGCCUAAUUCUCGUUUCUAGGUACAUCAUCCAUGACAAACACGCCUAUUGAAACCCUUCAUGGAGGCGUAUAUCGGUGCCCAAUCCUUUUAUAACGAGGCGUAUAUAAGUGCUAAACUGUAAUGUUAAGAAAUACUUUUUAAUUAGUUUUCUAAAUAUAAUUUAUUCCUUUAUUUCUUUUUGUGUUAAUACUAGAACUAGAAUAGAUCAAUUGAUGUUCAUAACAAAUUCCAACACCUCACUCAUAAUGAAAUUGAUCAUAAUUUAAAGUACUAAAUCAUGCUAAAUAAGUUAAGUAAGUAUUAGUUACAUGCCUAAAUAUUAAAAGAAAAUAAAAUUAGAUCAUGUAUUUUAAUUGUUUAAAUCUAUGUAAAACUAAAAAAUAAAUAUUCAAUAUUAUUGUCAUUCUUAGUGUUGAAUUGAUUCGUUUUUUGCAUUAUUAUUAAUUUGAUUUUUAUUUAAACUUUAUUAUAAUUACCAACAUGUAUGGUCUAUAAUCUUUAUUUGAUAAUUAAGAAUUCUAACUUCCAAACAUAAAAUAAAUAUAGUAAAAGAUAAAAACUGUGAAAAAAGUAUAAGAGAUAUUUAUUAAUUAUAUCAAAGUAAGUAUUUUUACGUAUAAAAUAAAAACUUUAAUUUAUAUGUAUAAUGUCGGGUUGGUUUGGUCUCGGGUUGAUUUAUUAUAGUUGAAACCAACCCAACCCAAAUAUAGUCGGGGUUUUUUUUUCCAACACAAAAUUGAGUCAAACCAAACCACUAGUCAGGUUUUUUUUCGAUUUGACUAGGUCUGCGGGUUUAGUUCAAUUUUCGAUUUGAUUUUAUACACUCGAUUUUGAUUUUUGUGAUCUGUAGUAAGAGAUAUAGAGCAAGUCUUUUUUCCAUUAAACUUAUUUAUUUUAUUUUAUUUUUGUAGGAAAGAAGGGGGACCUUGUAUAAUUUUUUUGAUUUAGAUUUGAUGUAUCUUUGUUAAAAAAGUGGGUUACAUACACUCCUAUUAUCAUAUAAACGUGAAUUACUUUAUAAUGAGCGAUAUAUAAAUUUUAAUAAAUUAUAAAAUUGAGGAGGAGUAUAUCAAGACUUUUUACGGACUUGCGUAUUUAGAUAUUUUAGAGAUUCUGUUAAUUAAAGUAGAAGAGUAGGUGAAUAUUGGUAUGUUGAAAACAUGUGCUAUUUAUACUCAUGAAUAGAAUAAUUAAGUAGUAUAUAAUUGUUUAGUUAAACGUGUUGGGAGCCGUGCAUGCAUAUAUAUAUAUAUAUAUGCAUUUCAUGACAUAUAUAAUAAUAUAAUAAUAAUAUUAUCCAAUCUCACCAUUUAUUUAAUAUAAUAUUACAUGAUAAUUAAGAGGGCACUUCAUUUAUUUAGGUGUGUGUGAGUGAGUGAUGAUGGAGUAGUCCUAGGUAAUAGUGACGGUUGCUAGAGAUGUAAGUAUCCCAAAAAUUGCUGCCAAAGUUUGACCAACCACAUUCUCAAGUAAGUUUCCAAUAAGGAUAACGGGAGCUACAAGGGUUCCUGUGGUUGGAGUCAAAGUGCAAUUAGCAAUUGGGAGAGGAAUCCUUGCAAUACAUGUUCCUGACAAAAGACUUGUAUUGGUGGACACUGCAGCAUUAAUAAUGCCUUGACUAUUUGUGGACACUUGAGCAAUCGUUGUGUUGCCACAAAUAAUCGUUACAUUUGCUCCACUCACUCCGACGCCUGGGGCAUUACUUCCCGGUACGGAGCAAGACAAACUCCCCAAUAUACUUAAAUUAACAACACGAUCAACAACAGGUGGUACAAUCGGUGGUACUUGACCACCAACAGGUGGUACAAUCGGUGGUACUUGACCAACAACAGGUGGUACAAUCGGUUGGCCAAGAAUAGGACUAAGAAUGGGACCAACAAUUGGACCGAGAAUAGAACCAACAAUCGGUAAUUGGCCAAGACCAACAGGUGGUACUUGACCAACGGGUGGUACAAUACGUGGUGCAGGUUGCCCCAAAAUGGGACCCACAAAGGGAAUGGGACCCAAAAUGGGACGAACAAUGAGACCCAAACCUUGAGCAUGGGCUAGAGGACUGAUGGUGAUGAUGGAAAGUAGAACAACAAGGGAAAC